RNAcentral lists this long non-coding RNA (73894 nucleotides) under Ananas comosus (pineapple). RNAcentral describes it as "long non-coding RNA (ACOM_LNC009538)". Lineage: Eukaryota; Viridiplantae; Streptophyta; Magnoliopsida; Poales; Bromeliaceae. The record is from RNAcentral.
AAACUAAAAGGGUGGGUGUGUUUUUUUAUAUUUUUUUAUUUUUUGAGAGAUAGAUAGUAUGUGAUUUAUUUAUUUUAUUUAAAAUUAAAUUUAACUAAAAAUGUGAAUCAAUAAAGAUUCUAACUUGAAAUCUUAGGUACCAACAAAGGAGUCCUUUUAGGUAAAAAAUUUUAGAAUGCAACGAGUAUAUUCAUGAUGUGACAUAAUAAAUCAAUCAAAUGCCUUAUUUUAGAGAUAUAUAUUUUAUUAUGAUGGUAAAAAAAAUAUUUUUAUUAUAUUUUUAUUUGAAAAGAAGGAAUGUGAUUAGUUUAUUAUUGAUGGCGUGGUGCAAGUGUAACAGCGUAGAAUUCCUCCUUUCGGGUGGAUGUGUGUUACUUGGGGUACGAAGCGGGCGACAAAUAUAACUGUUCGGAAUUCGGAAAAACCCUACCAAGAAACCCUCCGCGCCGCAUCGAUCCUCUUCCUCGCCGCUUUUCCUCACUCUUUUCUUCACUCCGUCCGUCCGUCCGUCCAAGGCCGAUCAUCAUCCGUUAGAGAGAGAGAGAGAGAGAGAGAGUGAGAGAGAGAAAAGCGUGGGGGUGUGAGGCCGGGGCAAGGGAGCGGAAGAGGGAAAAGGCGAAGAAGAAGAAGAAGAAGAAGAAGAAUAAAAAAGAAAGAAAUAAAAAGAUGCCGCUGGGUCAGAGGGCGGGCGACAAGAGCGAGUCCCGCUACUGCGGCGUCGAGACCCACUUCGACCCCGACAUGCCGCAGGCCCUCACCCGCGAUCUCCGCCGGCUUCGAUUCAUCCUCUCCCCCUCGUACAUCAUUUUACAAUUUCUCAAUACAAAUAUAAUAAAUAUAUAUAUAUAUAUAUAUAUAUAUAUAUAUAUAUAUUAUAAUAUAUAAUUAUAUAGUAUAUAUAUAUUAGCUUGCUCGCUCGCUCGGUCGCUUGCUCCUAAGAUCUGUUCCAGUUCAUAAUUUGCUCCUGUUUGUUGCUGAACUCGGCGCAGAUCGAUCCUGCAUAUAGACCUUCUUCUUCUUCUUCUGCCGAGACCCGCGGAUGCGAAGGCCCCGUUGUUCUUCCUGUCGCGGCGUCCGACCUCGUUCUCACGUCGUCGGUAUGCGCACCUGCCGACCGAAUCAUGCGAAUUUACGCAGCAUCCUGUCUCUUAGUGUGUUUUCUCUAAUGAAUGAAUGAUCAGGAAAAGUGAGCUCCUGGAUUGACCUGGAUUCAGAGGAUGAGCAGCUUCGUCUGGACUCGGAGAUCACGUUGAAGCAGGAAAUCGCAUGGGCUUCUCACCUCUCCUUGCAGGUUUAUGUAUUAUUAUUAUUAUUAUUAUUAUUACAGCAAUAAAAUGCAGUUUAUAAUGCAUGUUUUGAGGAGGAUGGUAUAUCCUAAAAGUUGCACAAAUUGAUCACCUUCUCCCAUUGGUAUCUCGUUUGCCAUGUGCAUGUUAUGUUAUGCUAUGUUAUCUGCUUGCCGACCAUGUACACGUGCAAAGCGCGGCUUCGCAGCAUCCUUGUCUCUCGUCCUAGCUUAAUUUGUAGUUUUACCGUAUUUUUCAGUAAAUUUCAAAUUGCCGUGUUAAAUCGUUGCUGCUUGGAAGGAAUGGAACAGAUUCGAACUCAAGUAGUAUACGUCUGCAAUUUUUGAACCAUAUUUACAUUUUCAUGGACUCCGAGAAAAGUCUGUGGCUGUAGAACUCAUCUCUAGUUACAGAAGCUAUAACCGAAGUAGAAGCUUUAAAUGCAUUUCUUAAUACUAAUUGCUGGUUUUCUUUUUCCCCCAUUUGUAACUAUUGAAAAAGAACAUUCAAUCAAAUUCGUUUAUUCCUGUAUGCAGGCCUGCCUUCUUCCUCCCCCCAAGAGAUAUUCUUGCGGUAAUUAUGCAAGAUGUGUAAAUCAAAUCUUGCAAGGUAUGAGCAAUAUGCAGGUAUUUUUCCAUCGCCGAUCUUAUGUGUUCAUUUACUUCUUCUUUUUUUUUUUUGUUUUUUUUUGUUGGCCAGAUUAGGUUUUAAUGUACUUUUGUUUCUUCCUUUCGGUUAAAAGUUGUGGCUCAGAAUACCCCUGGAGAAGUCUGAACUGAUGGAGGAUGAUUCAACGAAUGCAGCUUCUAAACAUCCUGUAAGUAUUGGCUAUCUAUUUAGAAGAAAUAUGUGAAAAUUGUCAACCUUAAACUGUUAAAGUUGUUUAAAGUCCCCGAUAGAAUGUAUUGUUAGGGGUAUUGAAUGUGCUUCCUGAACCUCUUUUUUUAAAAGAUUUGUCUUGUUAUCUUAAAAGUGAUACUACUUCGCUCUGCAGAGUGAAGGAACUUUUGACUCGUGGGAGUUGUGGAAUUCCUUUCGGCUGUUAUGCGAGCAUCAUACUCAGCUGUCCAUAGCUCUUGACAUUUUGUAAGUCAGACUUUUCAUCUUUCCCCAUUUAAAAUUUUGUAUAAUUCUGUUCAAAGUUCAUUUCAGCAUUAGCUAUUCAUCACGGUAGUGGAAAUUCAAUACUGAAUUUGUAACUCGUUCAUCAGGAGUUCGCUACCAUCGAUAAACUCACUUGGCCGAUGGUUUGGUGAACCAGUCAGAUGUGCGAUCCUCCAAACAAGUGUAAAUAUUUUGAUUUAAAAUUUUAAGCAUUUAGCAUUAAUGGUUAAAUUUAGUCUUUCACAGAUAUAUGCUUUUAUUUUCACAGUCCUUUCUAACAAAUGCUAGAGGGUACCCUUGUCUAUCGAAGCGCCAUCAGAAAUUAGUGAUGGGUUUCUUUAAUCAUUCUAUCCAGGUAGUUCAAGUAAAUUUAUUUUUAAGGAUUACUUUAGAUGGAUUUUUGUACGGCGCUAAAGAUCUUUGUUCUAUCCUCUCUUCCUUUAGUUCUCAAUCAACUUCUUUCUGAUGCUUCUUUUAGAUAGUAUUAUCUGGAACUUCACUUCAUAAUGUUUCUCAAGAAAUAUCUGAAGACUUGCUCGUAGGUGACAACAAUAACCAUCUUGAAGGUAAUUACUGAAGAAUAUAUCUUAUAAUAGAACAUAUUUAAAUGAUUGGCUUUUCCUUUUCUUUUCCACAAAAUGGUGUUUGUUUACCUCCAUGGCGUUCUGUGAUGCUUAUUAAGUGGUCGCCUUUUGAGUUACAAACUCCAUAUCACUAUGUAGGUAUGCCUGUUCAUCAUGCGUUGAGGCCUUAUCUUGAUUAUGUUGCAUACCUAUACCAAAAGAUGGACCCACUUCCUGAACAAGAACGCUUUGAGGUACCCACUGUCUCUGUAAUAUAUUUUGUGUUUUCCUGUAUAUACCCAGCAAAGUACACUUAAUUGUGUAUACCCGAAAACUUACAAUUGCGUCCAUAGUCCAUGCCCUUAAAGAUACAUAACCUACAUUUGUGUGUACCCGUCAAAAUUUACAUCUUGCACCUCCUUAUAUUUGUGUGCAUAAGCUCCACUCGAGAGUUCUCCAUUGAAAAGGGCGGUUUUUCACAUGAGCUUCAAUAACUCAGAACAUUUCAAUUGAUGGCAUCCUUUUUGGCAUGGCCAACUCUUUAAUGGGAGCAGAGGGUCACAUAUAGUUAUGAGUUAUUGCUAUAGGCACAAAUUGUAGCUUUAAGGGGCAUCGUGCAAGUAUGGGCUAUUUCUGCGGAUAACUUUUGAGGGGUAUGUGUACAAUUUUUUGUAUUUUGAAAUGUAUGUGUGCCUCGGUUGAUUCUUGUUUUGUUGUUAGUUCUCUUUUCAUUUGUUUAAACUUCUAUCUUGCAGAUUGGUUAUAGGGACUUUUUACAGUCUCCUUUGCAGGUAAAAUUCUGACUCUGUCUCCUUUCUCUUUUCUCUCUAGUCUUGUCAAUUACAUUUCGACUUUGCCUAUUAACUUUGUUGUUUCUUUUCUGCUAAGGCAAUCUUUGCGAAUGGAGGGUAACUUUCUGUUGCUCAUACAUUUGUCUUUUUUUUCCAGCCUCUCAUGGAUAAUCUUGAGGCACAAACUUAUGAGACAUUCGAGAAAGACACAGUGAAAUAUAGCCAGGUUUUUUACUGCUCUGACUAUUUAUUUAUUUAUUUAUUUAUUUAUUUAUUUUUCCAAAGAUAAUUAUUGUUCAUGAGGGCCUGGACUGUGAAGAGGCAAAUCGCAGUACAUCAACAGACAAAAUUUUCUGAAAAGAAAGUACUAGUCCAACAAAAAUUUGCGAGCCAAUCAGUGGCGGCUUGAUUGGCCUUGUGUGGAACGUGGCUAAAUACAGUUUGAUACUUGAGGAUAUAGGCCCUUAAAUAUGUACUGUAUAACUUGCAACUCGUUAUCAUUUGUAGUAGGUUUCAUCUGUAUGUAAGCAAAGUUGUAUUUCCCUUUUUGUUGGCAAUGCUUAUGAUCAACUCUGAAUAUUGACUCCUCUAUAUAAGGAACUCAUCUUACUAUCUGUAUCUGGACAGUACCAAAGAGCAAUUUCUAAAGCUUUGGUUGACAGAGUGCCUGAUGAAGCAGCCUCUACAACAAAGACGGUAAUAUAGGCAGUUCAGCUCUAUUUUGUAGCAGUCUCUUCUUUCUUCUUUUCUUUUGGCAUGAUUGAAAUUAUGGUUAACUUUGCUGCAUUUCAUAUAAGAGUUCAUCUGUUAGGCGUACCCAAGGAUUACCCAAGGAUUAAAGUUGAGACCUCAAUUGUGUCACGCUUGAACCCCACAUAAUCUUACAUCCCUGAAAUACCUUAUGAAUAUCACUUAUCAUUUUACAGUCGAUGCCCUUGAAUAAGCACUGGCUCCAUGUGCUCUGAUUCAUUAUUUGUAUUCAGAUCUAGUUGUAAACUACCUAAUUUAUGGAGAUUGAUUUAUAUAUGCCAUACAUUGUACAUCUUUUGCCUGAUAAAAAUCCGCUUAUCUCAAAUUCAGGUAUCCUUUAUAGGAGUAAUAAUAUAGAUUGAAAUCAGUGCCUCAUUUUUCAAAAAGAUGCCUAUGCGUAAGAGAUCUUUUAUUUACGUAAUUUUCGGCUUUUAAGAAAUUUACAUGUUCUGAAUGAUGUUUAAUAAUGUGGUUUUUCACUUGUAAUGUAAUACAUUGAACGACCUUGUAAAGGUUUAGGCCUCAAUCUUUGCGAGAGGAUGCCUGCUCAGCUUGUGAGUCAGAGAAUCAGAUUAGCUCACGUUCCUUUAUUAAUCUGCGAAGGCUAACAUCAUCUCAAUUUUUUUUUAUUUCCAAAAAGGUGCUAAUGGUUGUUGGAGCGGGACGAGGACCAUUAGUAAGAGCAUCAUUGCAGGUAUAUUGCACCUCAUUUCUAUAAAUCUGGCCUCCGAUGAGUAUUUUAAAACCUGAGCAAAAAGAAAAAACCAUUAGAAUUAUGUUCUCACGUUAUUGUGGGUACUAAACCAUUGAAAUUAUGUUCUCAUUGCGGGUAUUUACUUUUCCUCAAUUGAAUUACAAAUUUCUUAUCACAUUAGGGUAUGUCAACCAUCAAGAAUGACAUCAAGCAUAAUUACUAUUCUAAUUACUUAAUCUUUUUGUAAAGUGAAUUUCAGUGUUUUGGUACAAUCAUAAUGUAGAUGUUAGUGAACUCAAAAGGAUAUCACCCUCAGUUAAUUUUGCACUGAACUAUUCUUUUGUUUUUCUCCCCAAGAAUAUUUACAAGGAUGUUCGACAUAGUUUGAAUUUUGAACUGCUUAAUUGUGGUUUAGCUUCUAUUUUAGAAUUCCAUAAGGUUUUUUCUAUCUGAUGAUAUAUGCAGGCUGCUGAAGAAACAGGUCGGAAGUUAAAAGUUUAUGCUGUGGAGAAAAAUCCAAAUGCUGUUAUAACCCUUCAUGUGAGUUGUCAAAAUGGUUGUCUUACUAUUCCUCCGUAGACUCUGUACUGUUUUCUAUUUUUCGUAUUCAGCCAUUCCCUCAGUCUCUCAAAUUCUUAUCUUAACAAAUUAGAUUAAAGCAAUACGGAAUAGGAGAACUUACUCUUUUCUUUUGUAGGGAAGGAUUGAACUUUAUCACUUUAAACCUUUUCCUGCUAAAUGUUAUUAAUUAUGGAACCCCGGUAGUCACGAUCCAAACCGACUUCAUCUGUUCCAAGCCUAACUUCAACUCGACCUGGCCCAACCUUAGUCCAACCUGAAGUUGAUUUGGGUUAUGGUCAAAGGGAAAGUUUGACCUGAGAUAGGGAUUAAGAUUAGCCUUCAACCAGAUCUAACGUGCCCAAGUUGAACCCCUGGCAUUCAUUCAAAGUUAUAGGUGGCGAUGCACAUUGAUAAUGAUGAUGAUGCUUUUCCAUGGCAGAGCUUGGUCAAAUUGGAGGGGUGGGAAAGUGUGGUCACCAUUGUUUCUAGUGACAUGCGUUCUUGGGAUGCCCCUGAAAAGGCUGAUAUAUUGGUAUUGAUCUACCUUAUUUGGAUUUUUUAUAUGCAAAUAUCUCCUUAACAAUUAAUACCUAUUACUGUAAAAUAUAAUGAAAUGUCAUCCAAUUUUAAUCAGGUGAGCGAGUUACUGGGCUCCUUUGGCGACAAUGAACUGUCUCCUGAGUGUCUAGAUGGGGCACAAAGAUUUCUGAAACCAGAUGGCAUUUCGAUUCCAUCAUCGUAUGACCUCUUUUUGCUAGAAACCUGAAGUUACUAUAGUGAUCUGGUUGGUUAUUAUAUAUAUUUUUGUGCAGAUAUACAAGUUUUAUUCAGCCAAUAACAGCAUCAAAGCUAUACAAUGAUGUAAGAAGUGAACUCAAAUUUUUUCCCAUAUUUUGUCAAGUGCGAAGUGUCGAUAAGGACUUUUGUUGUGGCAGGUUAAAUCGCAUAAAGACCUUGCAAAUUUUGAAACUGCUUAUGUUGUCAAGUUGCAUCGAGUAGCAAGACUCGCUUCCUCUCAACCAGUGAGAUUCUAAAGAAUGUUUUCUGAAGUGCCUUCUUUACAAUAAAUUUUAAUUCACUGUAUUGUAGUUUGUACUUAAUUAUGUCUGUAAUAUUUGUUUUCAUUGCCCAUUACAUGCUUUCAUCUGUUCCUCUUCUCUCCAGCAUUACAUUCUGAUGAAAUUAUUAAUGCUUAUCAGGUAUUUACUUUUAAUCAUCCAAAUUAUUCAUCGAAGAAUAACAACCAAAGGUAUAAGAAACUGCAGUUUGUGAUACCAGCGGAUACAGGAUCAGCUCUGGUACAUGGUGUGUGAUUAAAUUCCUUAUUUCUUUAUCAUCUCAAACUUCUAUACAUUUCUUUGCUCUCUAAAAAGAGAGUACCAUGAAAUACCAAAAAAGAAAGCAGAAUCAUGGAAAAAAAUUUCCCGGCUUUCCCAAUCUUGUAAAUUUGCUUAUAUCCGAGCAUGAAAAACAAAUCUAAAUAUUCCCCUUCUUUUUUCAUCUUAGAGACCUUGUGUUCUAUAUUUUUGGACAGGAUUUGCUGGAUACUUUGAUGCUACCUUAUAUAAAGACGUACAUCUCGGUAUCGAACCAUCUAUGGCUACACCGAAUAUGUUCAGUUGGUACUUGCCAUUCUCUAUUCAUCAUCACACGAUCAUUCCCUUAGUUUUCCCCUUUUCCCCUCAGCAAGUUACAUCUUUCAUGGUCUACCAGGUUUCCAAUCUUUUUUCCACUGAGGAAGCCUAUAUGUGUUCCUCCAGAAUCACCUAUAGAAGUUCAUUUCUGGCGGUGCUGUGGUGCUACAAAGGUUUUCUAUUUUCCUUAUUUUCUUUAUCCCUGUUGUGUAUCUUAUGAAGGUAAAGAUGCGUGGAGACCCACACAACUAUAGGCUAUGUUGAAAUAGAGCCUCCUCGUCUCCUUUUAUUUGAGUUUAUCAUGAUCGGUUUGCUCGGAGAUAGCUAUGCGUUGUUCAUUGUUUAACGUACUAUGUUGUUGAGGGAGUCAGAGGGCUAUUUCCGAGACGACCUGCAGUUGAGGUCUCCAUGUUUCCUUACCUUUCACGAAUGCAAAGAAGUAUAUAUUUUUCCUACUGGAAUAUUGAGUUUUUGAAAGCUGAUUUCGUUUAGGGUAUAUUUCCGCCUUGUAGGUCUGGUAUGAGUGGUGUGUAACGUCCCCAUCUCCCUCGGCCAUCCACAACAGCAGCGGCCGGUCUUACUGGGUCGGCCUAUGAGCCCAGUCUUCGUAUUUGAAAUGUCUACUUUGCUUGCAGGACUGCUGAAUUAGAUACCACUCUUAAUUAUUUCGAAGGGGAAAAGGGGAAAAAAUGCUUCAGAGGACUGUAACUGGAUCAGUUUCUUGAGUACCAGUUGUAUUUGGAACACAAAUUUUGUAAUAUUAUUAUCAUUUUUUCUUUGAGACAUGGUCACCCAGCUGAUCCAAUCAUUGUUUGUCCAUUUACAAGCUGAUUUUAAGUGGUAUACAGCAACUGUAUGUUCGAGGAACAGUAGGCUGAGUUAUGAUAGGAAUUGAUGGAUUAUUUGCUUGAAACUGGUCGCAUCAUGUAUUUGUGGUGAGCGGUGUGAGGUUUAUGGGUGCAAUAUUCUAGUACCUCAAACGCAAGUGGAUGAUUUGUUGAGAAGGGAAAGGAAGGCCUGGGAAGCUUCGGGAAGGGUCCCGAUUCGACCAACAUAUAUGUAAUAUAUAUUGAAAAAAAAACAAAAAAAAACAAAGGAAACAACGCCCUGUCACCUCCUCAGUUCUCUCUCGACCGGUCAAAACACGACGUCGCCAUAAAACCUAAACGCGACGGGUUUCGUCCUCCCUUCCUCCCGUGUUGUUGGAGAGCCCUAACCCUAACACAAACUCUCUCUCUCUCUCUCCGUUGAUCGAUCUCACGGGCUCAUUCAUUGGCCUUUUCCCCUGUCUCCGAUCCCAUCCCAUCAGAUCCGAUCGAUCCUCUAGGAGAGAGGCUAGAGAGAUCACGAGAGAGAUCUCGAGAGAGAGAGGGAGAGAGAGAGAGAGAGAGAGAGAGAGGAAUAGAACAGUAAUGGCGGAGGAUGGGGCUGGGGCGGCGGCUGCGGCGGUGGCGGAGGAGAAGCAGGCGUCGUACAGGUACUGGGUGAGGGAGGCGAAGCAGGACGCAGCCCCACUCCCCGUCCCUCGCAAGCUCGACCCCGCCGACAUUCCCAAUCCCCGCCCCGCCACCGCCCUCGGCUCCGUCUGGAACCAGGUCUCCUCUUUCUCUUACCUCUUCCUCUAUCAGUGAUUGCGACCGAUAAUUGUUGCAAAGUUCCCAUCUUUCCCUCUAUUGCUGCUUAUGCUUCUAUGAUUUUGGUCUUUUGUUUUGUUUGCCGAACAAACAAAAUCUCAUGCAUGUUCCAGACGAUGAGAGAUAGACCGAGGGUAAUGUUGGAUUACAGAUGACAGAGCAUAUAUUCAGUUUCCAUCAAUCACGUCGUCUUUGAAAAUUUUUCCUUCUACUGAUCCCGAAUUGCUUUCUUUUGAAUGUGAUGCUGCAUUCUGGAGAAUUCAAAAUCUGCCCCUAUAUGUGAUGUGUUGUUGUAGGCAGCUAGAAUCGUGUUGUAGUUUGGCAUUUGAACUUUUUGUAAUUGCUUUUAGCAGUAAUGAUUGAAUUGUUAUGCGCGGCAAAAGCCGAGUCAUCCGAAAUAUUUAAUCAAUAUUCUGUACCCAUGGCUGUUGGUAUUUUGCGCGAAAUAAGCUAGGUAUCCAAUGCGACCUGCUGAACUAGAAAGCGCGGCAGUUGCUAAACGCUAUUGUCGUCAGAAGGUUUUUUUUCCCCCUCUGUUUUGAUGCGCGCAAUUAUACAGACUGAACUUGUCUUGCGUGUAAUCGCAGUCCUUAAAAUCUGUACUUUCUAUCUUUCUGCAGGCUGGAACGUGGGAGGAAAGAAACCUUAAUUCAUGGGCAACUAAUAGGAUAAAGGUGUAGUCUCUAAACACACUACUUUUUUGUUGUUUAGUACAUUUCUUAGUUACUAAAUAUUUCGUCAGUCUCCUAUUUUGUCGCAUCAACAAUAGUUUGAAUUGCAGGAGCUGCUUAGUUCCUUGGGCUCUUUGGAGUUCGCUAGUGGUAAAGCGUGCAUUGAUGAAGUAUCCAAAUGCUCGGGAGAUGUAAGCAUGCUCUUCAGCUCACUUUUUUAAUAUGUCUAGCUAAAUGCUUGUCAAGUAAUGAAGUCGGUGCUUUUCGCUGCGAGUUCUGUUAGCAUGUCCGUGUUAGUUAUUUUCCUUAUACUUAACGCGAUUAUUACUCUUUAUCGUGUAAGGCCAGGUAUUUUAAUAGUAAAUGAAAAUUCAAAGUUUUCGAAGCUUUUCGUUGAUAUGUUACUAUUCGGGUCUGGACAAAUAAUGCCAGUUUUUUUGGCGAGUCUGAUAAUCUUGUGUUUUAGUAUCCAAUCGGUGUUUGUUCUCAUCUGCCUUAUUUCUAACUUGUUUUGGAUAAUGAGCAGGCAUUCCUGGUCACUGUUCGCAACAAGAAAAGAGUUGGGUAUACUUAUGAAUUGACCUUGAAAUUUAAGGGUAUGAUAUGCAAAUUCUUCUUUUAUGUCUUUGAUUUUUUUUUUUCCUGUUUCCCCUUCUAGCUCUGUUGACUUUAUUGAGCUUACGAGAACCGCUCGACAGGUGAGUGGUUAAUCCAAUCGGAGAAGAAGAAGGUGAAGGGACAUUUGGACAUUCCAGAGUUUUCAUUCGGCGAGCUCGAGGACUUGGAGGUAAAACAAAAACUACACUGAAAGAAGAGCUUAAAUAUCAAAAUUGUCCUUUUUGCAUAGGCCGAUUUGCCUUAUUGUUCUUAGGUUUUGAUCCUAGCCGAUCCUGCUCUGCAGGUUGAAGUAAGAUUUAGUGAUGAGAAUGGUCUCGGAACAGAUGAUAAGACCAGGAUCUUUAAGGAUCUGAGGGCCUUUUUGCCACCCAUCCGUGAGAAAUUGCACAAGUUCGAAGAAGAGCUUAAAGAUAGGUAGAGAGAGGUAGAGUCACACGUAAUUGAGCAUGAUAUUUUACCACUUGGAGACUUGGUUAUGUUCUGUGUCAUUUGAGAAGGCAUGUAUCAGUAGGACCCAAUUUUUAAAUCCCACAAAGAUGGGGCCAUUGCGAAAGUUUUCAUGCUUGGCAAGGCAAUCAGGAUUUGAAUUUAUACACUGGAUGUUGGCAAGACAUUAUUGUUUCUGGCAUUAAUAAUACUCUUUUUUUUGUCUACCUGCCUCUUACAUUAUUUCAAUUCUUCGUCAUGUCGCUUACAAAUAGCAUGUAUUACGGUUAUAUAUUGGAUACUUUUGUGUGCCGUAAUAAAACUUGGUGUACUCUGUAUAUUGGCGAUUGUUCCCUAUUGUUAGUGCAACACGAAUGCUUGGAUUGACGUAUUGAAUUAGUAAGAAUUGAAAUGUCGCGUAAGCAGUGCGAAGGAGAAUCACUGCAGGCUAGAGUGUGAAUCUAUUUAAGAUCUGAAGUACGAGAUUCUACGCAGUCAAGCGUGACAUGCUGAGGGGAUUUGCUUGGGCCAAGUUUUGAAUCUAGCUAAGAUCUAAAAUACGAGAUUCAACAGCCCCGCACGAGCCGCGAACUCUUAAACGGGCCAGUGCAAUAACACCAAUACAGCCUCUUAAAGAGCCAACAAUAAUUUGCAUCCCACUGGGGCAAUGCCACACUGGACUGAAAGAGCCUGUUUGAUCAUACUUCUAUAUCUGAUUUGCUCGAAAACAUUCCCCUCGGAGAGGACUCCCGAAAGAAUACUUUGCGACACGCCAAUUAAAGCAGCAGCAGUAGUGAGUGCCAACCCGGUGCACACUACACGUCCAUGCGUCAGAUUCUCAAAUUAAACUCUUAUCCGUGGACUCCAAUCAUUUCAUGUAUAUCAUCUCCACUAAGACCUAACCACAUCUUUAGAAGAAGAGAUUUGAUCAAGUUUAGGUAUGUGUUCCCAUGAGAAGAUGGAUAUCAAACUACAUGAAUCUUGAUCUGCAUUUCCCAAAAAAGACCUUUAUAAAAUUGCAUGCAUCUUUUUAUAUUUCUCGUAAAGUGUCGUCAAAAAUAAUGAAGAAGGAGAUACCACUCACUUUUACAACAAGAAAUUGGGAUACUUUGCUAUUAGAAUGUUAGACUAUAAAUAAGCCAAAUCUCAAUAUCCCUAACCAACGCUGUAGAUGCUUUUUUAUGUAGUGUUGAAUAUAUAAGUUAAAAACACAGUUCUCUGACAGUUUAAAAAUUUGUGAAGAACAAUAAUUGUUUUAUAUAAUUUAACAAGGUAUAGGAGCAGUCCGGUAGAACUCCAAGCACUAUUUAGUUUCUCCUCUUUAAUUCAAGUCAUAAGUUUGGAGAAACAAUAAUUGUUUCACUUUAUGGUAGUGCUACAAGAUUAUAAUGUAAUGUUUUUUGGAAGAGGUCAAGGGUUAAACAAGCGUACAGAAUAAAAGCAUGGGAUGCGGCGCCAUCGUUCUACGUUUACACCCACUUGCACGUCUUUGGGUCCCCCCUCUUCUCUCGUUCCUCUCUCUUUCUCUCUCUCAACCAUGCACACACACACAAAUCCAUGUAGGGCUAUGUGUGUUGUUAAUUCCUUCUAAACAUAUGUAGAUGAAAGAAACUUGAAUAUGGUUCAAAGUCAUUGUUAUUUUAAUUCGACUUUGCGUAAAGUUCACCAUCCCGUAAUUUCCAUAAAUAAUUUGGUGACAUAGUUUUUACCGUUCAGAUUCUAUACUUAUGUAUCCUUGAAAGCAUGCAUAGAAUUAUCAUGCGAGAAAAGUCUUUUCUAUAAUAUAUUAGUAUAUUUCGAAAAUUAAUUCCUUAUAAAUAAUGUUUGGACCUUGAGCUACAUAGUGUUGUGAUAAUCAUAUAUGGCAAAAAAAAAAAAAAAAAAAUUGAAAUAGAGUGUAGUGAAAUGCCUUUCUUUCUUGCCUAAACUAUUUUAGUUUUUAUUUGUUUUAAUAUAUAACAUUACAUGGUACGAUUGACCGUCCCUAGCGUAAGUGGCAAAGGAUUUGAUGGUUGGUGUUCGAGGUUCCAAGUUCGAAUCAUAAUUGAUUCACAUUUCUAGCUAAGUUUAUUUCUAAAUAAAAUAAACGAAGCAGAUAGCAUAUUAUCUAUCUCUCUCAAAAAAAAAAUAAAAAUAUUAGAUGGUACGAACGAGAUUAAUUUGGUUUAUACCUCAUACUGGGACCACUUUGCCCAAUUGCCCUCUCUCCUUUCAUAUUCUCUCACUGUCUCCCAGCUUUUUAGGAGAGCAAUGGGAGGCAUUUUCUAUUGUUGCUGAAUCAUUUAUGGUUUCUAUUACAUAGGUUUAAAUAAGCUUAAAAUUAACACGACUUAGAUACAAAACUGCAGUUGCAACUCGCGAACCCGAAUUGCGACUCCUCUUCGCCCCACUUUUGUGAGAGAUGAACCAGGAGAUAGUACAAAUACACAAUUGGAAGAAACAGAAACCGACGAAAAAACAAAAAAGUUCCAAGCAUGGAACCUGGCACACAUGGUUAGAAGUGUUGGAUGUGGCCCACGGUUUAACAAGAAGUUAAAUGUAAUUUCAUUUUGAUUUUCUACCGACCACAUAAUAUUUCUCUUAUAGACUUUUUUCCGUGUUAAGCUUAUAUAUAUAUAUGUUGAGAGAAAAUAUAGUAAGCUAUUCGUUUCAUUCAUCAAGAGAAAUAAAUAUAGCAACAGAAUUAAGACAACAAGGUUUCGAAAAGGACAUGACGAAAGAGAAAUUGAGUAACAUAGAAAAGGGAAAGAGAGAAUAGAUGUUGAGCUCAUGUUAAUCACAAGUUCUGUACUAUAUAUGUAAAAAAAUCUUAUCUUCUUCGUUGCAUUCAAGCUUGUUUAUGUAUGACAUAUAUAUAUAUAUAUAUAUAUAUAGUCUGGCUGUAAUACUAUCGAUAGCAUCAAACGCUUAGUGCUAUCGAGUUUUCUACCGUUAGAUUUAACCUUUUGACUAUUUUCAUUCGUUAAAUUAUACUAUUCAGCCAACAACUUACUCAACCCUAGAAGGCCCACGUCAUCCUAGCCGUACAUUCCUUCAUCCAAGGGUCGAAAACCUAAUAGCACCGCUAGCUUGGUGCUAUUGGUAGUAUUCUAGUCUAAUUAUAUAUAUAUAUAUAUAUAUAUAUAUAUAUAUAUAUAUAUAUAUGAAGGAUAUUCUUUAAAAAUUUCACGAGAAAAUAAAUGUUAAAAGAGCUGGUGAUGAUAUGAGUAAUUUUGUGGCAAAAUGGUUAAUUAUUAUGUUUAUCACAAUAAUAAAAAUUGGAGAGCUACUUUUGAUGAAUAUUGAAUGGACAAAUAAUUUGGCUCCUACUAUGUAUCAGAUAUAUUCUCUUUUCUUAUACAACAUACGCGCGCCCACCAUCAAAUAUUCCACUUAAUUAGGACGGUCCAUUUUAACAAGAAAAUGACACUAAAGUAAGGGAAUAGGCCUAGAUUCAUUUUCCCCUACCAAAAAAAGUUUGUGAUGGAGACAUGAAAUCGACUAAUCCCCCAUUUCCUCCCUUAAUUUGUCGCGAUUAUCAUCAUCAUCAUCAUGGACUAUUAAUUUUACUAAAAUCAGAUGCUGCGAUUUAUAUAAUUGCAGUUGGAUCCUAGAGUUUUGGACCCAAAAUAUGUCCCUCAUUGGCAUCAAUGACCUAAUCCAAAUUGGACUCAAAUCCGAUAAACUCGUCGCUACUUUGACCUGAUCAAACCUCUCUGAGCCCGAUUAUCGAUCAAUGAGUGGACUGAACCAGUCUCAUUUGAUUGAAAGAAUUAGAUUAUCAGAAAAUUAACACACAAAAACUGAGUCGACAUGAGAUGAUAUUCCAUAUAUAUAUAUUAAUCAACAUUAUUAGACCAACAUACAUUCAUGGUCCACUGAUUAGCCACAGGAACCCACAAAUUGGCACAAAGUGGGGAAAAAAAAAAAAAAAUAAUAAAUAUAUAAAUGCAUCUACUAUACGACACUGCUAAAAGAUUCUUGCGCCAAGUUGAUGCUUAAUUUCAUAUUAUUUUUUAUUGUUGUCAUCCAUAUAAUCCUUGCUUCAUAUGUAAUAAUAUAAGCUCACGACCACUUGUGACAUGAUGCAACACUGUGCUGCGUACAGUAAUUAAAGAAAAUGCAGUCUCACACACACACACACACACACACACACACACACACACACAUAUAUAUAUAUAUAUAUAUAUAUAUAUAUAUAUAUGUAUAUAUAUAUAUACUAAAAUAAACUUACAUGAUUGUGGUGAACAGUUAAUUAUUCUAAUACUUAAAAUAUGAACAAACAAAGGGCAUCAGGGUGCUUGAAGUGAACAAUAAUAUUAUAUAUAGAGAGAGACAGAAUCUACUACAUUGUAGCAAUGUUGAAAACUUUUGCAGUAAAUUAUAAGAAGCAGCAACCAAUUAUAUAUAAAUAGUCUUGAUAUUACAGCUAAAAUAUAUAUGCACAAGUGAAAAUCAGAUAAUCAUCUGUAUGUAGUGACACAAGAUAACAAAAGGAAAAAAAAAAAAAAUUAUGAGACUGAAAGAAACAUACAAAAUAUUUUUUAGAAAAUAAAAUAAUUAUAAUUUUUCUUUUUUCUUUUUUUUUUUUUCAAUCAUAACAAUGAAAGGGGUGGGCCAUGGGAAGGUGAUCAGUUCAUAAACUUCAAUCACUUCUCUCCAGAAGAGAUCAAUUCAGUUUUAAUUAAAUAUUAAUCUACAAAUAUGUAUGAAAUAAAAAGUUUUGAUUGUUUCGUAUAGGGAGUCAAAAAAUAUUAGAUUUAUAUACAAAUAUAAAAUAUGUCUAUAUGACAUGUAAUUAUCAAUAAUAUAUAUAGUGAAAAACUCAAAUAUGAGGCUUUAAAUUUUUAAACAAAUAAAAGAAAAGAUUAAAAAAAGGGGAAACACGUGAUACUAAAUUACUUCGCCUCUCUUAAUUAGUAAGAAGCCAACACGUUUGCUUUUAAAAAAGGCGUAGUAAAUCAGGAUACGUCUCUCCCGCUCCUUCACUGCGCCCGCCACCCCCAAAACCUAGGAGCCUUUUUUCACCCUUUCUUCUACUUUUAUUCUUCUAUUUUUAUUUUUUUCUUUUUUAUUUAAUUGCCCGUAACGAUUUGCAUAAUUUUAUAUAGUUUAUGAGUCAAUUUUAUAAUACAAUUAUACUUCUAUUAAUUUUUAUUUUAAUCACCUUUUUAAAUAAAUUAAUUAAGCAUAAUUUUUGAAGCCUAAUGUGACUCGAACUGAAAAUCUACGACUCUAAUAUAUAUUAUAUUAAGUUAUAUGAAACAACCGUUUAUAUAUAUACAAUAGUUUAAAUUCGUAGAGAGCUGUAUUUUUUUAUUUUAUAUUUAAUAAAAGUUAAAAAUUAGAGAAUGAAACCAGCAAAAUAUCUAAUUUUAAUUAAAAGUUGCCAAUUUUUUAAUUUGAACUCGUUUAGUUAUCUUUUCACAGGCACGAAAUGAAGGUCAAGUUUAAUCAACUCCAAUUUUGGAUACACCACAGCAUUAAUAUGUCUAAUUACAUAAUUAUUAUUAUUAUUAUUAUUAUUAUUAUUAUUAUUACCAUUGAUUGUUGUACCUAUCCAUGGUUUGAUGUGUUGGUGUCUCUGUCUUUUUCCAACUCUCGUCACCAUGCGACUUGCGGUAGCAAUUGUUCCAGACUAAGUUUUGCUUCUCUCUUUUUUUUCUUUUUCUUUUUUUUAGUUUUGAAAAAAACAUCCACAAUGAAUGUUUUUUAUUUUUGAGAGAUAGGUAGCACGCUACCUGCUUCGUUUAUUUCAUUUAAAAAUAAACUUAGCUGGAAAUGUGAAUCAACUAGGAUUCGAAAUGAAUGUUGGAGAACAGUUAGUUUCAUUAAAUAGUCAAAAAUCCUGGGGUUAAAAACAAGUGUUGAUUAGUAAGUAAUUCUCAAUAUUGGGAAACUAUUUAUUUCAUUUAUUUUCUCCGUUUAGUAAUAUUUAAUUAGACUGCGACACAACUCAAAAUUACACUAAACUCUUUACCAUUUUACAUAGUUUUAAAUUUCUUUUUUUGAACUUGGGAGUGAGGGGGCCACACACCAAAGCGAAGGAGUCAUUUGUUUUCUUAUUAUUCUAUUGACUAAUUACAUUCUCUAUAACCUGUGCUUAUCUUUGUCUUUAGGAAAAAGACAAUGUUAAAUAAAAUAUAAUUAUUAGAUAAGAUUGUACGUGCAUUUUUUACCAACAAACCAUUCUGAAAUAGAUCCCUCUUUUAUAUAUAUAUAUAUAUAUAUAAAUUUUAUUAAAUUUGAUAGGCUCGGUAAACAUAUCUAUUGAUUAUUUCAACUUAUUCAUUAAAUAAUUAAAAUUUGAGGGGGCAAUUCUCAAAUAGCCAAUAGGUGAGAGGGUCUCCAUAAUUUUAUUAGCUAUAAGAUAAUGAAAUAUCCAAAUAAACGAACGUUUCGUUUGGUAUAACGGUGGAUAAGAAUACGUGUUUCAAUAUCUUGAAAAGCUUACAAGUUUUAAAAAUAUAUUUAAUUUUUUUUAAGUAUCAUAAAAUUACGAUAAAAAUCGCCACAGAAGGAGCAUAUUACCAUUUAUUUUUCUAAUAAGAAUUUUCACCAUAAUUUUAUAAAAUUGAAAAAUUAAAAUAAGGUGCUUUCAAAUUAUUUUAAGGCCAAUUUGCAUAAAAAAUCCACUUAUUUUGGGCUUUUGCAAAAUCGGGCCACCUUUUUCAUUUUUGCAGAUUCGGUCCGCUUUUUCAGCAAACUGACCAAAAUACCCUUAUUAUUUUUUCUCUUUCCUCUUUCUCUCUCUUCUUCGUUUCUCUCGUUCUUUUUUUUUUCUCGCCGGUAGAGCGGAGGCGGAGCGGAGGCAGAAACGGUCCGUCUCGCCUCUCACCCUCAUACUCUCGCCCUCGCCCUCGCCCUUGCCCUCGUCCAUGCACCCCCCACCUUCCUCGCCUCCGACCCCGUUAAGGCCGCGCCGCGACUUUUUUUUUUUGCUUUUUUCUUUUCUUUUCUUCUCCGACUCUUCUCCACCGUCUCCGACGACGACGCCUCUCGCCCUUCCCCGCCCUUCUCAUCUCUCCCUCUCCCUCAUUUUCUGCCGCCUCCGACGACGAUUUAUCUUCGCCGGCGCCGACGUCGACACCGUAGAGGUCACUGCGGCGCUACAGCCUCGGAGCGGGGGGUCCUUAGCGGCGUCGUCACCGGCGCCGUCACCGGCGCCGUAGCUGUUGGCAGAGAAGGUGACAAAAAAAUUAUAGAAAAAACAGAAAAAAAAAAUAAAGAUAAAAAAUUAUAUAAAAAGAAGGAUGAAGAUGAAAUUACAUCGUUAAUUACAAAAAAAAUUAUAAGUUGCACUAUUUAAGAUGUAAACUGCUGCUUUAAGAUAAAAAUUAUACUCUUUGAACGAAAAUUAUACUAUUUUUUAUCUUAAACUGCAUCCUUUUAAGUGAUAUUUAUACUGUUUCUCCUCUUGUUGCACUGUUUCUCCUGUUGUUGCACUAUUUCUCCUCUUAUUUACACAGAAAUGGUGCAACAAGAGGAGAAACAGUGCAACAAGAGGAGAAACAGUAUAAAUAUCUCUUAAAAGGGUGCAGUUUAAGAUAAAAAAUAGUGUAACAAGAGGAGAAAUGGUGCAACAAGAGGAGAAACAGUGCAAUUUUUUUUUUAAAGAGUGUAAUUUUCAUCUUAAUGGAUGCAGUUUACAUCUGAAAGAGUGUAAUAAGAAGAAAAAUAGUGUAAAUAUUUCUCAAAGAGUGUAAUUUUCGUUUAAAGAGUGUAGUUUUCAUCUUAAAGCUGCAGUUUACAUCUUAAAUAGUGCGACUUAUAAUUUUUUUUGCAGUUAACGAUACAAUUUGAUGUUCAUCAUUCUUUUUAUAUAAUUUUUUAUCUUCAUUUUUUUUUUCUGUUUUUUCUAUAAUUUUUUUUUAUCACCUUCUCUGCCAACAGCCACGGUGCCGGCGACGACACCACUAAGGACCCCCGCUCUGAGCCUGUAGCGCUGCAGUGACCUCCACGGUGUCGACGUCGGCGCCGGCGAAGAUGCAUCGUCGUCGGAGGUGGCAGAGAAUGAGGGAGAGGGAGAGAUGAGAAGGNNNNNNNNNNNNNNNNNNNNNNNNNNNNNNNNNNNNNNNNNNNNNNNNNNNNNNNNNNNNNNNNNNNNNNNNNNNNNNNNNNNNNNNNNNNNNNNNNNNNNNNNNNNNNNNNNNNNNNNNNNNNNNNNNNNNNNNNNNNNNNNNNNNNNNNNNNNNNNNNNNNNNNNNNNNNNNNNNNNNNNNNNNNNNNNNNNNNNNNNNNNNNNNNNNNNNNNNNNNNNNNNNNNNNNNNNNNNNNNNNNNNNNNNNNNNNNNNNNNNNNNNNNNNNNNNNNNNNNNNNNNNNNNNNNNNNNNNNNNNNNNNNNNNNNNNNNNNNNNNNNNNNNNNNNNNNNNNNNNNNNNNNNNNNNNNNNNNNNNNNNNNNNNNNNNNNNNNNNNNNNNNNNNNNNNNNNNNNNNNNNNNNNNNNNNNNNNNNNNNNNNNNNNNNNNNNNNNNNNNNNNNNNNNNNNNNNNNNNNNNNNNNNNNNNNNNNNNNNNNNNNNNNNNNNNNNNNNNNNNNNNNNNNNNNNNNNNNNNNNNNNNNNNNNNNNNNNNNNNNNNNNNNNNNNNNNNNNNNNNNNNNNNNNNNNNNNNNNNNNNNNNNNNNNNNNNNNNNNNNNNNNNNNNNNNNNNNNNNNNNNNNNNNNNNNNNNNNNNNNNNNNNNNNNNNNNNNNNNNNNNNNNNNNNNNNNNNNNNNNNNNNNNNNNAAAAAAAAAAAAAAAAAAAAGUCGUGGCGCGGCCUUGGCGGGGUUGGAGGCGAGGAAGGUGGGGGGUGCGUGGACGAGGGCAAGGGCGAGGGCGAGGGCGAGGGCUAGAGAAUGAGGGUGAGAGGCGAGACGGACCGUUUCCGCCUCCGCUUUGCCGGCGAGAAAAAAAAAAGAACGAGAGAAACGAAGAGGAGAGAGAAAGAGUAAAGAGAAAAAGUAAAAAGGGUAUUUUGGUCAGUUUGCUGAAAAAGUGGACCGAAUCUGCAAAAACGAAAAAGGUGACCCGGUUUUACAAAAGCCCAAAAUAAGUAGAUUUUUUAUGCAAAUUGGCCUUAUUUUAAAUCUUAGUAUAAAAUAAAUAUUUCUCAAUUCCAAACUAAAGCCUCGAUAAACAAUAAAUAAUUCAGUCGCCAUUUCUCUCCUAUCAAUUCUCCCACUUUGCUAUAAAUGGACAGAGGGCAUUUUGGGAAUUUCGCGUCUUUCAUUUCCCUUCGAGGUAAAACAUAAGGGCAACAUUCACAACAUUACAAAGAGAGAGAUAGAGCUCCAAUCAUUUUGUUUAGAGAGAGAAAAGGAGAGCGAUUUAAAGAGAAACGUGUAUGAUUCGGGAUCUACACUGGUCGAUUGGUGUGGCUUCAGGUGAGAGAUUCUUAUCUUCUUUCCCUACUUUUUCAAUUUUUUGCAUAGAUUUUCUCCUUUUUUUUUUCUUUUUUUUCUUUUUUCCCUUUUUUGAGCCAUUUGGUGUAAGGGUGUUAAUGGACUCAUCAUCUUAUUCAAAAUGAUGCAAAUUACGGGUUACAAAUUGUUUUUUUUUCCUUAAAAUUUAGUAGGGUUUGAUAAGAGAAAAUGUUUGAUUUUUUUCCUUUUUAAGUCCACUUAUGUCAAAAUUAUUUAGGAGGGAAACUGAAAAAUUUUGGUAAAAAAAAUGUAUGAAGUACCCCUAAAUUUCUUUUUUUUUUUUUUUUUUUUUUUUUUGGUGAUUUGAGCUAUUUUAGGUAGUUAAAUUUGAGAGUUUGUUAAAGCUGAUAACUUCAUAAGCUAUUCGUCAUUUAUAGUCAUAAAUUGUUGUGGAUUUAUUUCCUAUAAAGUGAUUAGAGCUAUUAAAAUUAACUGAAUCACUGUUGGAUUUAGUAAAAUCCCCUGUUUUCUUUGGCUUAAAUCACUCAAUUCAGAAUAUUAGCCCGUAGUUGAGAGAUUUUUUGAACAUUUAGUAAAAUCCCAUGUUUUCCAUUUGUGAGUUUCAAUUGAAGAAGAAUAAAGCUAUGGAGCCAUAGCUUUAAUUUUGCUUCAUCGUGUCUCUUUCCUACUCAUGAUUACGAGGAGUAAUGAAUUUUAGAUAGGUCAAUCAACGAAGUUCUAGUGCAACGAAUCCGGCGUAAACCCUCUAGAAGUUCUAGGACAUUCAUAGUUAUGUUACUCUCUUUUUUUUUGAGAGAAAAUUGUUAUGUUACUCUUCAUAGUUAUGUUACUCUCUUUUUUUUUGAGAGAAAAUUGUUAUGUUACUCUUCAAGUGUUAAUUUGGAGAAGUAUGCUCUUGUUGACGAGCAUUAUACAUGUGCAUACUUCCUUCUGUAAGUAAUUCUCUGUAAGAGUUGCAGUUUUCUGAGAAUGAAUUCUUUCCAGUGUUUAACAUGCAAAAUGAUAUUAGAAAAGUUCCCAUGUUACUGCCUCAUUAGCCAUAAUUCCUUAACUCACUUCAGACCAUCUCUUUAAGCAAAUGUUCAUCUCGUGAUAUUUAUACAAGUACAUUAUGCAGGCUUAAGACGGAUCACAUUCUUCGGUAUCGAGUUUAUUGAAUCAGUUAACGACCAUGAACAGCCACAGCAUUGUUACGGUUAAACAAAGCAACUCUCCAGAGAGAACUGCACACUAUUGUCAAGCUGCACCUUCUAAAAUAAGCAAAAUUUUCAAAGGCCAACAAGACCACCAAAGUCUAUCAGGCAAUAAUUCGUCAUCCUCAGGCGAAUUUUCCUACCUUCUUAACCCGAAAUUAAGCCCUGAAUCUGAUUCGGAAAGUCCGAUCUCACACGUAUCACUUCCCCACUAUUCGGAACCCAUAUUUUCUCGCUCGUCUAUGUUCUGUACCAGUCUAUUCUCAUCAUCCUCGAAGAGCUCGGACUCCUGCAGGAGACUAAGUAAUUUGCCUUUCUUGCCUCAUCCUCUCAAAUGCGAGCAACAGACUUCAGCUGCUCAGGAUUCAGACUCUCCGUUCCACUUCACUAGUGAUAUUAAUAACACCCCGAAUAGCGAAGAUGAGCAUUCGGAUGAACUGAUGAAGGACUUUCUUAACCUUUCUGGAGAUGCUUCGGAUGGUAGCUUCCAUGGAGAGAACUGCGACAGCAACAGCUUGGCUAUAACUGAGCAAAUGGAGCUGCAAAUUUUGUCGGAACAGCUUGGAAUAGCUAUCACAGACAAUGAAGAAAGUCCUCGAUUGGAUGUGAGUUUGUCGAUGCUUUCCAAUUUUUGUUUCCUUUUUUUUCAGUUUAUACAUUGAAAGUCACAGGCAAGAAUAGUAUCACCAGUGUGUUUCUUUUGGCUUGUAAUUGAGGAAGUCACAUAUUUUCAUACAUACACUUCAAGAGUUGGCAAAAUCAGAAAUACCUUUGUAUCUACUCAAGAAAAGAAAGCUUUAAAAGUAUCAUCAUGUAUGCCCUGAAAUUGCCUCUGUGCUUUUCUUAAAUGCCUUCUGGAAAGGGUAAUUUUUGGCACUUGUAGUAUCAUUACUAUGGCAUUUGUAAAAUUUCCAACUUUUGACUGGUAUGCGCAGAACUUUUCAUGCUGUUGAGGGGCACGGUUCAAAUUAUCUUAAUAUGUUGACCUAAAAAAAUCCCUUCACAGUAAGACUUGCCCUCUUAUGACUUCGAGUACCAACAUGUCAAUUACAAACCAAUUCGAUGGCCUAAAAUGAAAAUCUGAUUUACCUCUUGUUUGUUAUGUAUAGGAUAUAUAUGAGAAACCACAGAUUUCGCCUCAACCAGUGUCAUCUUGUCAGAACCAGAACCCUCAGCCUUCAGGAUCUCCUAUCAAAGUUCAGUUACAUUCCACUCCCUCCGCAUCUCGGGCCACAACUAAUAAUAAUAAACCAAGACUAAGGUGGACUUUGGACCUCCAUGAGCAUUUUGUAGAAGCUGUGAACAAGCUUGAUGGGCCCGACAGUAAGUUAAUUACUUUGGUUCAUUAGAAAUUAAUGCAUAUCAUUGUCUAUUUGUUCACUCAUCCCCUUUGUUUUUUUGCUUUGUUUUCUUUCAUGCAGAGGCAACCCCAAAGGGUGUACUGAAGCUUAUGAAUGUAGAGGGUUUGACCAUCUAUCAUGUAAAGAGUCACUUACAGGUAUUUCUACAGAAAUUGUUUUUCUUCCAUGGAGGAUUGAAAUUUUCUUAGAGAUUUAAUCCUGAUGAUAUCCUUUUAUAUGUGGGUGUGGCAUGCAGAAGUAUCGGCUCGCCAAAUAUCUUCCGGAGACAAAAGAAGGUAAAUACUCUAAAAAGGAAAUUCUGCUUAGGUAAAUAAACACAUGUUUACUGUUUAUUUUGGAAUCAGCUGUGUGUCUAGCUCCACAAACUUAAAGCUUGUCUUAAGUUCCCAGCCCGUGUCAAUGAACUAAUUAAAGCCCAGCCCUCUCAAACUACUAAUUCAGUUAGUAACUUGUAGAGUCAUACUGCUACUGUAUUUAUACAAGGUGAUUUGUAGUCGCAUGAAAACGAGCUCGAGUAUCCAAAGUCAGUGUUGGGCUUUUGCUAUUCCUCCAAUCUUUCUGUAGAAAUGAAUAGUUCCAACUUCAAACUAGGAUUUGUAAAUGUUAUUUAAAAUGAGUGAUGAUGUUCUACCAACUAGGACAAAUUAUUAUUAUUUUUCUUUUUUUUUUUCCAGUGAUUUGCUUUUAUUAGUUUGCUGUUAUUUCCGUUGGUGUUAGUUAAAAACAAAGUAAAACUAGUCUUGAAAUUCGGCAUGCUAAUAUGGUUGUUGGUUAUGAAUGCAUGUUCAUCAAGACAAGAAGUCUUUGCCUGUAGAAGAUAAGAAAGUGACACCAGUUACUAACGACAGCGGAGGGAAGAAAAAGUAAGCUGAUUCUCUCUCUCUCUCUCUCUCUCUCUCUCUCUCUCUGUGCAUGUGUGUGUGUUAGAUUUUUUGUUCUUUUUUCCCUUAUUUCCCUCCCUUUGGUAGGAACAUGGAAAUGACAGAAGCUCUUCGGAUGCAAAUUGAAGUUCAGAAACAGCUGCAUGAACAACUUGAGGUGAGUAUUACAUAUACCGAGCUGUAGCUGUGAACUUUGAGAUUUUUCAAAAUUUUGUUACCUAAGAUGCUAAGGUAUUACAUGUUUCUUUGUUUGAGCGGCAAAAUAAAAUGCUAAGUGUGCAAGUAAUUUACUAAUUUUCUGACAAAUGACAUUUCUCUGAUGCAACAUAAAAAAGAGGUAGGAUAACAGUAAUGUACAUCAAGAAAUAUAAAAAACUAAUAGUACAUUGAUUUGUUCCACUAGUGGCUGCCAUAUGUUGACAUAGUUGUUCACUCUCUGCUGUCAGAUACAGAGGGCACUUCAGUUACGCAUCGAAGAGCAUGCAAGAUACUUGCAGAAGAUCCUGGAAGAGCAGCAAAAGGCAAGCAAUUCCUUCGCCUCCUCAAUGGGAGUUUCUGCAGAAGCGCAGGUGGAGUCUCCCGACAAAACCUCACAAGAUCAAGAUGAAUCAAAGACAGACUCAGUUUCUUCACCGACCGCUCUGAAGCAUAGAAUUCCCGAAUCAGAUGGUGACUGCAAGCCACCGGAGGAUCAUAAACGGGCAAGACUUCAAGUUGAGCAAUGAGGAGCUUCUUCAUAGCCGCCAAUUCCGUGCCACGACAGCUUUGCAAUCCCACCUUAUUAAGGAAGUGACAGAACAUUCUAUGGACACGAUGUUGUUGUUCGAUGGAAUUAGUUUUCCAUCAGUGUAUAUAUAACUAAAAUUACGUGGGAAACGAAUCCGAGAGCUGAGGGUUAUAUUGCAUUCAUUGCUCUUUCUGUAUAUCGAAGGCUCAAUUCCCACUGCUGAGAUUGUUUCAUUUACAGUGAGAUUUCAAAUUUCAUCGGGACGAUAAUAUUCUGGUCGUUCACAUAGUUUAAAUAUAGGUAAAAAUGUACAGAAUAUAUCAGAACUAUAGAUUUUUUUUAAAUCAGUUAUUCAAUCCUCUGAAAUUUUGAUUUUAUUACUAAACUUUUCAAUAUGUUUGAUUUGAUUCAGCUUUGAUUCAGCCAAUGAUACCUUGAUUUAAAAUUUAAGCAAGUUACUUGGCUUAAUUAAUUUAUAGUUGUAAGAAUUAUAUAAGAAAUAUAUUAACUAAAUUUUUAAAAAUAACCGACACAUUCAAAUUUUCAAAAAAAAUUUUUUUUUUUGAGGAAAAAAAUUUAAAAUUUUGAAUUUUGAGUAAAAAAUAAUUUCAGAAUAACUCCUAAAAUUAUUCAACUAUAUAUCUUUUUAAAUCAUAUACCAAUAGAAAUGAACAUAAAUGGCUGAUUUAAAUUCGCAAAAUAUUUGUCGAACAUUUUUAAUUUUUUUUAAAAUGUUAAAAUUAUCCCAGCGUUACGCUCACCGCCCCGUAGGUGUAACCCCGGAGUUUUCCCAUGAAAUCUCCACGACAAAAAAUAUUUUGUGGGGAAACAGAUGUUACUGUCGGGGCGGUGAGCUUACCGAAGAUGACCAGACUCCCAACUCUUCUGCUUUGAACUAACCCAUCUAAAAUAUGGCCCGGCCCAAUCUAGGACCAAAUCUGGAUAUGAUACGGGCUAAAUCAAUUGACUACUUGACUCAAGUACAUGGGCUUUUACCCAGCCCAAAUACAUAAUUGAUAGGUGUCUUUUUUUGGAUUAGUUUGUUUAUUGCCGUAAAUUCAAAUAGGUUUUAAAUUUUAGUUUUGGCUUAAAUUUUAAAAUAAGAAAAUAUUUUAAAAUUUUGAAUUUUGAAUUUUGAAUAAAAAUAUUUUGAGAAUGACUCAUAAAAUUCGUUCUAUAUAUAUAAAUAAAAUUUUUAAAAUCAUAUAUUAAUAGAAAUGAAAAAAAAUUAUAAGAUAAACGGCUGAUUAAAAUUCACAAAUUAUUUGUCGAAAUUUUUUUAAAAAAAUUUAAUUAAAAUGACUAUUUUUGGGUUUCGUGCAUCUAUCUAAAGUGUGGCUAUGUGGCCCUCGACCACAGCGUUACGGUCACCGCCCCGUAAGUAUAACCACGCAGUUUUCUGAUGAAAACUCCACGAAAAAAAUUAUUUUGUGAUGAAACAGAUGAUAAGGCUUGGGGGGUGAGCUCACCGGAGGUGACCAGACUCCCAACUGCCUAGCAAAAUGUAGCCCGGCCCAAUAUGGGACUAAAUAUGGAUCGAGACGGGCCGAAUCUAUUGACUACUGGACUCAAUAAUGGGCCUUUACCCGGCCCAAUCGUUUUUUGGGUUCACUGGGCUAAUAAUGCCUUUGGAUGGAUCGGGUGUUUAUCAAAAUCCGAUGAAAUAAAAAAAAAAAAAAUCUAAUACAAAAAAAGUAAAACAUCAUGUCUCGGGUAUCUAAUGCUAUUUUAUCACACUUGAUAGUUUCUAUUUAUAUCAGAGGAAAACCAUGAUAAAAUGAACAAAAAUGUAUUGUUUGAUCCAGCAAUUUUUGUACACGGUGAGUUAAUGUAACUGCUGAGUAUUUACAUGAAUAUUCUUACACCAGUAAAUCGGCACUCUGUAGACAAAAAACUCGCACCGAACUAAAGACAAUCAAAAUUAGCAAUUUUUGGAAGACCCUGAUUUGCAAAAUUGUCAGUAGACAAGAAAUAGCCAUGUCUCAUGAGGGCAGUUGCAAGGAGUAUAAUAAUGUUUAUAAUGUCAUUGUGAAUCUUCUGAAGACAUCAGUUUAGCAACCCUUAUUCUCGCGGAGGCGCAUCUUCUGCAAAACAUAUACGUUGAUUAGGCACUAUCACAUAUUGAUACCGAUGUUGCUCAAUAUUAAAUCUUUACAUAGAAAAGGAAGAGAGAUUUUAAAAGUUUCGAGUAACUCACCGGCAGAUGUAGGAUCAACAUGUACGAAAAAACUGGCAGCUACAAUAAGAUAGCAAAGAAUGAGCAUUAAGCCCUUGAAGUAGUUAGAAGUUCCAUCCUGAAAUUAAAGUAAUACAAUAAUAUUAGACAUAUCAAAGUAUAAAGAUGAAAAUAGGUGCUUAAAUAUUGUGGAGGAGACAAGUGAAACAAACACUAGAAACUUCUUGUCUUAAAGCUAGCCAAAAUUGCUUAACAGAGCGGUGAAUUAUAACCGAGCAAAUUUCUUCUAUAGAACAAACAAAUAGUUACUGUUCUCCAUUGCGGAAAAUACUUUACAUUUUUGAAGAUCCUUAAAAUUAUACAUUAAAUAUGAAUGAACUUGUCGUUUCUCAUCUGUGGUAUACUACCUGUAGCAUGAAUGCCACAACUAUUACAGUUAUGAAGAGAGUGGCUGUCUCGAAAAGCUGAAAAUUUAAGUCCAUUGGUUGUCCCAUCAUCCACCCAAUUACUACACAGAACGGAAUCUGUGGAGCGAAAAUAUUUCACAGUAUUAAUCCUCAGUUAAAUCGAAUAAAAACUUAAAAAGUUGUGAAUUCAUGUACCCGUGGGGCCAGUAAAGACAAACUAAUGAAAUGACACCCAGUGAAAUGCUGGAUAAUCCAAAACGCAUUAUUUCAUUCUUACAAAUUAUUUGCACUCCAAAGAAGUUCGCCAAGAGAAGAUGCUACAUUUUCUAAAUGAUUGAAGAAAAAGAAAUGAGUUGAUAAACCUACCCCGAACAUUGAUAUUUGUGUAGAUGAUCCAAUUGCCACUCCGAGAGAAAUGUCCUGGUUGAAAAUUCCGAAGCCCUAGACUUAGGCAGACAACUCCAAGGAAAAUAUUUUAAAGACUCGUAAACUGAAGAGACUUACAAGUUUGUCUUUCAUUGCAAACAUUAUGGCGCUUGCAUGCUCUGCAGCAUUCCCCACAAUCGGAAGUAAAACAACACUAAUAAAAGCAACUGGUAUCCUCCAUGCAGUUGAGGCCCCCUGUGAUAUGCAACAUUUCAAAACAAUGCACGAAAAAUUUGAUGAAACCUUAACAAUAUAUGCAAAUACAUAAACUUAGUUGUUCUUGGCCUGUCUUUUAGAAUAGCUAUGGCAGGAAAUAACAGCACCCAGCCAGGCAUUCUGUCAACAAAAUUUGCGAGUUAAGGAAAAUUUUGAUUUGUUGCUACGGCUGUAUGUGCUUUAGUAGUCACUAAUAAGUGCUGACCUAAAGUGCUCGGUGUGGAAGCACUUACAAGUGGGGUGAUCUUUCGGCUUAGACUAUUUAAUUGCUCUUCUGAACACAUACUUUAUAGGCAAAGCCUCAUGUAAUUGUAACCAAGUUGAUGGACAACGUCUUGAUGACACCAUGCGUUAUGUAACUCGGAGGAAAACAACCAGAAAGAAGUUUGCAAAGUAUAAGUGACAAAGAAAGUGAGCAGAUAUAUUACCUCUAUAGCAUCAACUAAGUAUUCAGAGAGUACAGAAAUCCAAGCAGUCAAAACAGCAAGCCAGAUGAUCGCUUCCCAUUUCGAAAUCUCAGCACUUUCUUCGUCAUCUGCGCCCUGUUCAUUCGGACUUCCUCCCUUUCUCAAAUUCAGAGAACAUCAGUUAAAUUUCUAUAAAAUCAAAGUCAUACUAGAAAGUUCAAAAGAAGGAAGGCAAAUAAAUCACCAUUUUUUUAAGCUAGAAGAGCGCAAAUAGAUGCAUGCAACACAAAGAGUUUGUGUGUUGUUCUAACACGAUAGCUCCCACCAUUUAUUUAUAAUGCAAUAGUUUUCACUUUCCAGUGCAAAGGUAUGCUAGAUGAAAUUCAACAAUGAACUUCGAUUGCCGAGAUUCUUAAGAAAGUUAGCGUAUUCACUGUAAUUACAGCUGUUUAAAUCAUUUGAUCAAGAAAAGGCCUACCUCGUUAACUGGACAAUCUAAAUAUUCCUGACUUUUCAACUGGAAAAAGAGAUAGGAGGCGUAAGCCACAAGCAUAAUGCAGCUGCUGAAUCUUGACAAGGCUAAUUCGGACUUGCCAAACUGGACUUCAGUGUGGGUGUAGUGGAGGACAGCCGGAAAGAGUAAGCCCAUGACUGCCAUUAAAAGCAAUCCAGAGUUCAUUACAGCCGAUGCCUGCGCACAACAAUGUAAGCAAUCUAACCUUUCCAAGUGCUAUAUUUAAAAAAUGAAACUGAUAAUCAAGAAAUUAACGAGUACCUUAUUGAAAACUUGCUCCUUUUUAUCGAUGAAAACAAUCCCUCCACUAAAGAAUGCACAGCCAAGGACCAGAAGCAUGUUUGACAAGAUAGAUCCAAGUAAUGAUUGCUGGACUACUCGCAACAUUCCGUUUCUCAGAGCAUGGAUUGAUAUGAUCAAUUCUGUUGCGUUUCCGAAGGUAGCAUUUAGGAGGCCACCAACUGCAUGCGCAAAAUGGCAGUCUUCAGCAAUACUGCUGGACUUGCAAUGACUAAUAAUUUCCUUUAAUACUACGAUGGUACAUUGCCCAAAGUGAGUCCCACAAAGCAGGGCUGGUUGCAACUUUAAAGAUAAGUAGUACGAUAAUAUUUUCUAGUUUCAGAUAGAUAUAUUUAAAUACCACAAGCAGGGCAUGGAAUUGGAUUUGGAAUGUUUGCCUCGCAUUCUGAUUGUUUGGUCAGAACAAGGUAAAAGAGUAAUUUUAUCUCCCGAUUUUGAGUCCACUCAAUAUGAUCCAAAGCAUCCAAGAUGAAUGACACAAUAUGUAGUCCUUAAUAUAAGAUUCCACUAAAUAGAGAUAAAUUUAAUCCGAGGAAAGAUAAUGCCGAACCUGUUGGUCCUGUAAAGAGUGCUAGUUGCCUACAAAACAGCAAACAACAUCAGGUUUAACCAUGCUGCCCAUAUGAAAAGAGAACUGAUCUGCAAAGCCAAGAACACAAAAAUAGGUGAAAGCAAAGGAAACAGACUCCUUACUCCGUGGCAAAUCCCAGCCGCUCUGCAAAAGGAAUGAUACCUAGCAAGCUGAGGAAAAACACCCAUCCCUAUGUAUUAAAAGCCGCAUGUCAAAAAAACGAAAAAAAAGAAAAGAAAAGAAGAGAGAACUAAAAUGUACAACAUAGAGAUACAAUACACUGGGACAUAAAAACAACCAUAGCUUAGUAAGCUCACAUGGUCACCAGUAAUGUAGUUGAUCAAGACCGCAAUAAGGCCGCAAGGCAUCAACAUAUUAAUCUUUGCUGUAAACAAUACGAUCUUCAAGCUCCUGAAAAAUCUAGCCUUCAGAUAUUCGACGGUGCACUCUUGUUUGUCGACAGAAAAAGAGUUACGGUGGGUUCCCUCAAAACCAGAAGGCUUUCUGGAGUGCGCCACCGGGCUAACGAGGCUUUCAUCCUCAAACUCAUCUAACCUUCCGUCCAGCGAAACUAUCUGCUCUAUAAAGCAAUCAAUGAAACCAAAAGCAGUAAAUAAGCCUUCAAAGAAUACGAACCGAGCGACGGCAUAAUACAAGCAUACAAAUACAUUCUUUUACUGUUUGUAACAGUUUGAACAUGCAGGGAGAUGAAAUAACAGCGGUUGAUGUAUGCAAAUUACGUUGAAAUAAGCAUAACGAACACUUACUUCCGGAUUAGAGCGCAGUGUAGCCAUCUGGGUCUUUUGAUUUAUCUUCUCCAUCUCCAUAAGACGAGCAUCCUGAAAUGCAAUUCUAAGGAUCAGCGGAUCUGAACACGAAUUUGAAAUGUCGGACAUCAUUGCUGGCUACUGAAUUGAGAUGAAAAAUAACAUUUCUACGUAAAAUCAGAAAUCUUAAUGGCAUUGACAAGUUUUGGUAACAUAUUUGUACACCUUUUCUUCCUAAUAGAUAUUAAUCCUUUUAGGUGUUUGCGAAAAAACAGAAGCCAAAGUCAACGUCCAAUUCUUAUUAUUGAAUCGUCCUUUCGUAUGUAUUUAAACACCCAAAAUUGGAUUGGAUAUGACAGAAUGACACAUAAAUGUCGUGGAAUCAGAAGGAUUUAGUGACACAGAGGCAUUUGUUCAGAGACAUAUGUGGGGAUAAGUCAUCACGCUACGAUGGGAUUAGAUUCAAAAUUUCUCGUUGCAUCCCAACUAAUCUAACCCUAAUCCUAUCCCUCUUUGCUAAAUUAUAUAAAAGGAUCGUUGUUUUCCAAAAAUUUAACCUACUAAAGAACAGUAUUUUUAAUAUUUACAUUCAAUUCAACAACUUCAGAUUCAUGGAAUUCGUCCUCUUUUCGAGCAUAGUUUUUGUUUUCAGUCAUCAUUUUACACUAUCUGAUCCAAUCUUAGACGACAAACAGGCUCUCGGAGAUCUAAAAGACAAAUUAUUCCUUAAAUCGAAUAAAACUAAAGCGGACCGAAUUCUCGCUACGCGAUUAAACCAUGAAAAUAAAGCUUCGAGAAAUCAAUCGAGAAAAAGAAAGCGAAAGAAAUUACCCGCCGAUUCCGACGCUGCAAUCACAAUGAUGUAGUAAUAGAGAAAUUCAUGAGGAAGAAGAAGAAGAAGAAGAAGAAGAAGAAGAAGAAGAAGAGAAGGAGGAGGGUAAUUUGGGAAAUUCGCGUUCGCUGCUUCGCUCGUGGGAUGCGGUGGUGGUGGUGGUGAGGAAUGGUGUGAUCGAUGAGAGAGAGAGAGAGAGAGAGNGUUUUUUUUUUUUUUUUUUUUUCAGUUAAAGUUUGGUUGUUUUUUUUAUUUGUUUUUUUUUAUUUGUUUUGUUUUGGCCCGCUUUAACGGUCUUUCGUACGACAGGCGCGUUUCUCGGACGGAGGGAACAACGGUUUUCCACAAUUUUUUUUAGUAGAUAAAAAAAAUAUAAAAUUUAUCUGAACUAAUAUAACAUUUUGAUGGUGUUACUAAUUUUUAAAAAUUUUAAUUUUACAAUAAAUUUUUCAAUUUGUAUGAUUAGAGUCGAUCAAUAAUAUUUUGACUUUAAUAUGUAAGCUAAUUACUCACUUCAAUAAAUUUAUAAUUGUGAGAAUUACAUAAAAUAUAGUAACUAAACAUAUAUUGAUAAUCGGCACAUAAAUUUUGACGUCAAAGUAUCAUUGACCGACUCAAAUCAAAAAAAUUGAAAAGUUAGACAGUAAAAUCAAAAUUUUAAAAUGUUAGAUUGCUGAACCAAAAUGGUCUGAAUAAUUUUUGUAUAUUUACCCUUUUUUUUCUUAUAUCCGACUCAAUUUACUAUUUUUUUUUAGUCCAAUAUCCUAUAAUUUUGGUUGUUUUACUUAUAUUUUCUUAUUUUUAUUUUUGCUUUCUCACUACAACAAAAUUAGGUUAUAGGGACACAUGUUUGAGACACUUUUGAGUAAGUGUCCCAUUUAUGCUAAAACUUAAAAAAACAUCUACUAAUGCCUAAAUAUAAAGUCCAAUCCAACUAAAAAUAAAAGAUUACUCUACUCAACCCACCACACCCAGUCCAUUUGGCCCGAUUACAAACAGAAAAGAAAAAAAAAAGAAAAAUUAAUUACCAUCUUUUCUUCUCUCUUCACUCAAUCUACUGAAAUUCUAAACGAAGAGCCUUUCCUGUCGGCCUCCUUCGCCACCGCAGCCAACGAGAUAGAGUUUCGGCGGUUGCUAAAUGCUUAAAUAAGCGUUGGUAAAUUAGCAGCACUCUUUUCGAUUAUAGCGACACUCUUUAACUGUCACUAUAUACUUAGCGACCCCACAUAUAGCAACACUUUUUAAAAGUAUCGGUAAUUUUAGCUAGCAGCACUUUUUUGACAUGUACCUACAUUUAAAAGUGUCGCUAUAGACCGUUUUUGUUGUAGUGUCUAUUACACAUUUUAUUAACUUUUGUGUUAAAACCAUCAGGUGCCACCCAAAUGUUCCACAAUUAUGAAGAAAAGAGGCAUGAGACCUUUUAAGGCUUAAUCCUGCCUAUUAAGGCUUAAUCCUGAUUGUUCUUUGUUGGUCUCCAAUGGUGAAAACAAAUAAUAAUAUAAGAGGCUCGUGCAUGGCAGAUGAUUGUUUAAUGGAGAAGUUAAUAGAGAGUGUAACGAAAAAUAAAAUAGAAAUCACAGGAUGCUUAAAUAAUACAGUUAAAACCACAAUGCAUGAAAGUAAAAAAAAAUGUUAAACCAUAAAAUGAUAUGUGAAGUUUUAUUAUUAUUAUUAUUAUUAUUAUUACUAUUUGUAGAAAGAGAAGAAGGGACGGUAAGGAGGUGGGAGACGACAAGGGAGGGAAAAAAGAACAAGAGAGAGAGAGCAAGGAAAGAGAAAGAGGAAUAAGAGUAUUUUGAUUAGUUUACUAAAAAUUCAGACCUUAUCUACAAAAUGUAAAAAAAAAAGUCUAUUUUUGUAAAAAUGCAAAAUCGGUAGAUUUUUUUUGCAAAUUGGCCAAAAAAAUGUUAUUGGCACAUUCUAUUAUAAAUAUAUAUUUUACAUCUCGUCAUCCAAAAAUAAAUUAUUUUUUUAGUUUUUAAUAUUUUUAAAAAAUUUGAUAAAACAAGUAGAUAUGAAGCAUAUAUAAAAGUCUAGGUGUAAGAUUGAGGCCUAUAUUAUAGGUGCACAGGUAGGGACCAUUUGGUUGCAUAUAGUUACAACUGUACAACAGUUGUAACUGUAUGCAAAUGUAAAUUCGGUGUUUGGUUUGAUAUAUUUAAUUCAAACUGUUGCAAUAGGAGCUGCAGGAGGAGGUCCAACUGUUGGAGUUGGAACUACGACCAAAUUGACCGCAGUUCCAACUGCAGCCCUACAUAUAUUUGGCAUAUAUUGGUAUUUAUGGUUUUUACGCUAAUAUAAGUAGGGAUACUAUAUUAUUAGAAGUAUAGCAGCCCUGUGCUCUAAGCUCCUAACUAUCCAUCAAUUUUGAUGGUUGGUUUAGACGAGAAGAGAAAUUAGAGAGAAAUUGGGUAUGAUCUCAGUUUCUCUUCUCUUUAAAUUUCUUUCAAAUUUCUCUUCUCUCUCACACCCUAACCAUUCAUCAAAAACUUAGAAGCAUAGCACUGUUGUGUUCCUAAUAGCACAGUAACCCUAUUCACAUUAGCGUAAAGACUAUAAAUGCCAAUAUAUGUCAAAUAUAUGUAAGGCUAUUGUACUAUUGGGAGUACAGCGCAGCCUGUAUGCUCCUAAGUUUCUAACCAUCUAUUAAUUUUGAUGGGUGCUUAGAGUAAGAGAAAGAAGAGAAAUUAGGAAGAAAUUUAAAUAAAAGAUAAAUUGAGACAUCCAAUUUCUCUUAUCUCUUUCAGCCUAACCAUCCAUUAAAAUUAAUGGACGGUUAGGAAUUUAGGAGCACACGAGCUGCUAUACUCCUAAUAGCAUAGUAAGCCGUGCUCGCGCUAAUAUAAUCUAAUCUACCAAGAAAGCUAGAACUUGUGUAGUGAGUUUAUUAUCCCUUGUUAAAUCUCUCAUUUUUAUUCUCUUCUCCCACCAUUUUAUUAUCCUCCUCUCUUUUAUACUCUUUCUAGGAUGAUUGAUAUCCUUUCGCACAAUAACAUAAUCUUUAAUAGUAAAGGCUAUAUAUGUCUUGAAUUGCGAAUUGAUUGCAUUAUGCGUGAUAAGAAAGUAAAAUUUAAAAAAAAAUUUGUUUGUUUUCAUAAAAAAUAUAUCUUUAUGUAUAUUGUAAUGAAUCGAUAAACAAACAUUUUUUAUGGGCUCAUCGAAAAUUAGAAAUGUAUAUUUUUGUAUACUUUCGCUCCAACUCUUUUGUCCCAAUAAUAACAUACAACCCUUAAUACCAAAUGGGUCAUACUUUCUAAGACACUUUGUAUGUGCGGAGGUGUAUGUAUCUUUAUUCAUGUCGGUGUUUAUGUUCCUCUACACCAAAUAGCCAGCCAGUUAACUUUGUUGGCUAUUUAUUAUUGGGCUAAAAUAGAUCUAACAUCCUGCCCUGUGACAAUAGGUCCAGGAGACUAAUAAGUUAAGUUAGGUGAGCCUAAUAAGUUGAGUGGAGGUACGGUCCAUAAGAGGCAUAAUGGCAAAAGGCUUAACAAUAGACCCAACAUCCAAAUGGAUUAAGUCAGGUCGAAAUCCGCAAGUGGUGUGGUUGAGCCCUUAAGUGCAAUAGGAUCAUCACGUGCUUUUGGGAUAGUUGGUUAGCGCUUACGAUCCACAAACUCUUCCUUUUUUGCAAACCCUUAAGUAGCCUAAGUUAUAAUCUCCCCCUCUCUCUCUCUCUCUCUCUCUCUCUCUCUCUAUGCGGGUGUGUGUAUGCGCGUGCUUUGCGUGGGUGCCUUUAUUCGUGUCAGUGUUUGUGUCUGUCUAUGCCAAAUGGCCAACCCCCUCUUACUCUUACGUAACCUCCUUAGUAACCUUUCUUUUUUGGAAACUAAUGGUGUUUGUUCAAAAAUGUCCUCCCUCUUUCUUAGAGAAACUAAUACCUCUAAGGAAAAAUUCAGUCCCACUCUCUUUUCGUCUGCCCAGUAUGAAAUACUCAGGUGACUUCAAUCUUUUCUCCUCUUUCUUUUUCUCUUCUUCUAUACUAUAUACCUAACACUAACAAAUCUGCCACUCCAUACAUAGUCCAUCAUCUCACUCGGUUAAUAUUUUAUUAAUUUCUAAAAAAGUGAAAAAUGUCAUUGAGGGAUGUGGUAUAAAUUAAGUGAUAUAGUGCAACUUUAAAAAUUUGACAAAAUAUUGAAAUUUUCAUAUAAGUGUAGAACGAAUUUGACUAAUAAAUAAAUGAAGUUUUUGUUUUAUAUUGAUUUUCUUUUAGAGAGAGAGAGAGUGAGAGGGAGGUUUUUGUGUUGAUUUUGUACAUUGGUUUGUAAAUUUAUUAUGUUUUAAUAAAUAUUUUUUUCUUUUUGUAGGUUGCAAAUUGGUUAUACAUCAGCAGCAAGAGCUUAAUUGAGUAUGUAAUCCAUCCUUUUCUCUAAAUUUUGCCUAUGUAAUUUAACCAAAUUGAGAGCUAAAUUUUAAAGUUCUAGCCAGUUGACAAAUUAAUAAGCCCUAUAAUUGAACAACCAAGACUGGAUAAUGUAAGCCCCUUGAUUGAAUUGGAAGGAAUGACUAGCUCUUGCUUGAAAAUUACUACUAUAUUUUUCAAAUGUUUUCUUCCUUUGAACCAAGUAAUAAUAAAGUAUAAUCACUUACAAUCAUUUUACCAAUAUAUUAGUCCUCAAAUUUCUCUCUAUUGUGCAUGUUAGUUUUCUUUCAUGUAAAUUUUCCUUUCUAGCUUUCACUAAGAAAAGCUUAGGGGUUUGGGGUUAAAUCUAGCUAUCCUACCACCAUUUUAUUCUAUUUCUACAUUUUUAUCCUUUUAUGGAAUGAUUAAUAAUCUCUUAUGGCAAUAAUACAUUGCUCAAAGUAUAGCAUGAGUGACAAGAUUAACAAUGAGUUUAAAAUGUAUUCUCUUUCUCUUCCGUUUAAUUCUUUGUUCAUAUGGUGUUUUUGUGUGUGUAUUUAUAUACUUUUUUUUUUUUGUUUAUGUAAAACAACCGAUCAAUAUACUCUAAAAGCUUAAGUUGUUAGAGAACGGUGUUUAAAUAUUUUUUAUAUUUAACACUCCCUCUCACGUUUGGGCUCGAGACUUUUUAGUCGGUGUAUGACGUGAGCUUAAAUUAAAUAGGAAAAAAUUAAUAUGUUAGGCGCCUGACGUGACUCGAACUCAGAACUUCCUAUUCUGAUACCAUAUGAAAAUAACCAUUGCAUAUAUAACCACCACCCGGCCCCUACCCCAAUUACCACCUCUCUCUCUCUCUCUCUCUCUCUCUCUCUUGACCCCAAAAUGGAGUGUGAUUUUUUGUGCGUUUUGCUCUUUUUUUGUCAAUUUUUUAAAACUAUCUAUAAUUAAGCUAAUGUGAAAAAUAAAAGUCUUCUUCUUCUUUUCACUAGUAAUAUGGUUUAAGGCAAUUUUUUUUCUUUAAAUCCGUCAUUCAAUCAUUUUAUUUUUCUCCUCCCUUUCAUUGUUAUGCAAUAGCAAUAACGCUCUUAGGGCAAUAAUAUCUUAAAUAGUAUAUCUAACAAGAUUUGAAGCAUUGAGUUUGUGGGUUGAAGAGUAAUGAUAGAUUUAGACUCUCUCUUUCUCUCUUUCUCUCUUUAUAAUCUCUCUCUCUCCAUACCUCUUUCUCCCUUUGGGCGUGCAUGUAUGUGUGCGUGACUAUUUGUGACAAGUGAUGCUACAUCUCAUUGCCUCGAAUAAAAUCUAGGCUCUCUCUCUCUAAAACUAAUACUGUCCAAAAAAAUUCUCUCUCUCUCUCUCUCUCUCUCUCUCACACACACAAAACAUAGAAAAUGUGUCCCCAAAAUAAAAUGAUCCGCUUUCGCUCUUUUUCUACCUGAUACAUGCAUCCUUCUCACCAAUAAUUCCCCAUUGCCUGUCGCAAUAACUAUCAUCCUCCCUCGGCGGCGCUUCUCUCUCCGCUCAACCCUAACAAAUAUACGAACCUUUCGAUUGAAAAAUGUUGAACAGGUUGCUUGGUGUGGUAUCAUUUCAAACACUAGUCUAAAUAGUAAAGUUUUUAGAUGUAUGAUGUGCAUAUAUAACUAGUUUUAGCAUUGUUUCAUAUUGGUUUUAUCUUAGAUUUAUAUCAUAUUAUCUUCUUAACAUGUUUUUGAAUCUUUUUUUUGUAGGGGGAAUAAGUGUUGUACAUCACCAGCGACAAGCUAGUUGAGUAUGUAAUUCAUUCGUCUCUCACAACCUUUGCUUGUGCAUAUUUGCCUAAUCGAGUAUGUGAAUCGUUCUCACAUCUAUCUAUAGCUCCUUUAAUUCUAAGUAGAGGGCGUGAAUGAUGUGUUUUGACACAUAAUUUGAUAUUACCAUACUCGAUUGAUUUUAAAUCUAUUACAUUACAUUAUUAUCUGAACUUAAAUUUGUAGGAUUUGCUUGAGAUGACCAUCCAAGUUUGUAACAUGAGCAAAUAUUUUUAUUUCCUUUUGCGUUGAUUAGUUUUGUAUAGUAUAACCUGUUGAGUGAAGCUUAGAAUUGCUACGUAGGCAUGUUUUUAAACAAUUCAUAGGAAUACAUGAUUAUAUUUAGAAUUGCGAACGUAGGCAUGUUUUUAAACAAUUCAUAGGAAUACAUGAUUAUAUUCUUGAAACUAAAAUCGUCGACUAAAAUGCUAUUGUACUAGUUACUAAUGACAUUCUGAAGAUGUAAGAGCCUGCAGAUAUUAAUUAUUUUACUAACUUAUUAUAUACAUUCAUGUGUAUAUUUGCAUGCACAUUUUAGUUAGUAAACAUAUUUUUUCUUUUUCAGCUAAUCUUUGUUGUUGCUAUGGAUGCGCAUAUACAUAUAUAUAUAUAUAUAUAUACACACACACACCUUAGUUUUGUAUUUUAAUUUAUUUUUGGUGUAGAUUAAUGGGAAGUAAUUUGAACAUGAUUUUAAGUUUGUUUUGCUUUACUUGUGUACAUCUUUAGUAUACCGUUUGAUAAUAUAAAACGCUAUAACAUUUUUUUUUCUCAAUUAUCAAAUAAAACUUUCUAACAAGAACUACUGCAGUAGACAAUGGUUGUGAAGUAACUCACUUCCUCUUUUUCAUUGGUACGAUCAUCAAUCAUUCGGUGCACAUGGUCCAAAUGAAUUUUUCGCUCUUAUCAUUGGUCCGGUGCAUGGACACGUGGUAGACCAGACACUUAAACCUAUCGCAUGAACCCUCCGUUCUCUCUCUCGCUCUUUCUUCAUCCUCCUCCUCCUUCACCUCCGAUCACCACAGCCCCACCAACUCCAUUACCAUUACCAUCUCUCUCUCUCUCUCUCUCUCUCUCUCUCUCUCUCUCUCUCUCUCUCUCUCUCUCCUUUGUUGAAACCCUAGACCCCUUACAAAGUGAUUCGUACUCACAUUGUUCUCAAAACCCUAAUAAGUUUUGAGGGCUCCAUCUCCAUUCCAUUUUUUUUGAUUCCUGGGAAUGGUUGGAUUAGGGUUUCGGACCAUUUUGGGCCGGGGCAUGAACCCGACCAUUUACUAUCUCUUUGGUUUCUUACUCGUGGGAAGUUGAAGUUGGGUCCCACUCCCACUCUACCAGGUAAAAUAAUCCGUAAUACACAAAUACUAGCAUCUUUGUGCUCUUCGUAUAACACAAUUUAUUGUAAGUACUUUAUGCAGAUAUAUAGCUCAAAUUUGUCUUUUUCUUCAUUUAUCGAGUUUAAUUGUGAAGUUUUUCUAAUUAAUUUGUUCCAGCAUUGAUACUGUAAUUUUUGCUCGCUAGUAAAUGCAUCAUGUUAUGAGAUGUAAUAGUGAAAUGCGCCACUUUGAUGUGUAAUAGUGUGGUGUAACGAAAUGUGAUGCUUUAGCAAAGCAAAAUUUUGUCCUUUUCCAUGUUGUUAGAAUUAGAGUGUUAUACUACUGUUUGGGACCCUGUAAGGAUGCUCUUUUGGUCGGCAAUUUUCGUCUUAAGUAGCAUGCUAGCAUGAAGCAAAAUCUUGUUAAUAUUUGACUGUUUUGUGAUUAAUACCCUAAGCCAUCGCCUCUUUUGUUAUCUCCCCUUGAUUUUCUGCUUACUUAUGUUUGGUAGAGCAUAAAGAUUAUAAACACUACCUGUAGUAUAUUGCUCUCAGAAUUGUGCGCCCGAACUCUACAAGUUUUGAUCUCAAUACCUAACUUUCAUUAGCUUCUAUUGUUUUUUUGUAGCUCAUAACGGAAUGUCCCUUCCAAUUCCUAGCACUUUUCUAAUUGAAAUCAUCAAGUUUUGAUAGAUUCUGAUCAAAAGAUAUUGAAAUGAAAAGUUUUAAUGUUCAACUACCAAUUUCAAAAUGUGCUAUGGUUCAGGUUGUCUCCAUAAGUUUUUUACCUUUAUGUUUUCAAAUUGAUGCAUGCAAGCAAAAAAUCUCAUUGUUUUUUUUUUUAAAAAUUUUUGUUGAUCUCUCUAAGGUGUCGACUUUGCAUCUUUCAAGUUAACGUGAACAAAAGGCUGUUGACUCGAAAGGAUGAGCUCAAGUAGAGUGGGAGGUGAGGCAAUGGGCGGGCACGGAACAGCGCUCGAUGAGGAAAAUAAGAGAGUCAGAUGCAAGUACUGUGAAAAGGUUGUUGGCGGCUUCAACCGUCUCAAGCAUCACUUGGGUGGCGUUGGAAGUGAUGUCGUAGAAUGCAGUGAAGUCCCUGCUGAUAUCAAGGAACAUAUGAGGAAUUCUCUUCUUGAGAAGAAGAAAGAAAGAUUGGUUAGGCAAGUCGGAAUUUUGGACCACCCGGAACUUCCCCUGAAGAGGAGCUUUUGCCAACUCAAGCCAACUCAAGAGAGCCCUAUGGAGAAAGGAAAGAGAGCUGGAGAAACUGUUGAAGGUAGGGUUAUAAUCUCUUUGGUAUGGUUUGAUUUUGCAGAACUUUCUCAGCUGAAUCGAAAUAUGCAGUUUAAAGAUUUUGAGACAUAACUGAAAAAAAACAAAUUACUAUAUGAGCUGAAUAAAUAAAGUCUAAAUAAAUCUAUCAUAUUUGCAUAUGUCACAUCAAAAUUUGUUUUUAUUCUUUAAUAUGAUAACAAUCAAUACUGCAUAAUAUAUAUAUUUCUAGCAUAUGUCCAUAUGCCAAUGUUAUUUGGUUUCGGUUUGGUUUCAUUGAGAGUUUCUCAACCAAUUACAAGUCGUUAGCCAAAAACCAAAGCAAAUUGUCUUGUUGGCAGGGGAUUAUGUAAAUGGGAAGAGCAGUCCUCAUCUUACUCCCCCAAGGCAAACUUCAACAAAUGAAGGGAACAACAUGAAGUUUGAAUCCACAUUUCUAAGUGGACAUAUCCCUUCAUCACUCAUGAUGGAAGAAGAUGUCAAGCCGGUCAUAAAGGAAGAAGUGAGAAACGAAUCAGAAUUACUUGUAGCGAGAUCUGUAGGUGGGUUCUUCUUCGAGGCUGGAAUCAAUCUCAAUAUGGUCAGUUUACCAUCUUUCAAGAAAAUGAUCGAUGUUGUGAUUGCAUGCGGUGCUGGUCUUAAACUUCCAACAGAGAACGAUCUUAAGGGGUGGAUUCUCCAACAAGAAUUGAGAGAAGUUCUUGCAUAUGUGCAGGAUGUGAAGCAGUUAUGGGUACAUACUGGGUGCAGCAUAUUGCUUGACAGUUGGACCAAUGAAAGGGGCAGAAGCCUGAUUAGUUUUCUCGUGCAUUGUCCGCAUGGGACAGUAUUCUUGAAAUCCAUGGAUGCAACUCGUGUUAUGUGUGAUAGCGAUGCGUUAUUUUUAGUUCUUUGUAAUGUAAUCGAGGAGGUUGGUGUUCAAAAUGUAGUUCAGGUGAUCUUUCACAAUGCGUCAUCCUACAUGCAGUCCGCAGGGCAGAAGGUGGUUGAGAAAUAUCGAUCUAUUUCCUGCAACUUAUGUGCAGAUUACUGCAUUAAUGACAUAUUGGAAAGAAUAGCAAAGAUGGAUCACGUGAGCAGAGUGCUAACUGAGGCUAAGACCAUAACAAGCUUUAUUUAUGGUAACGAGCUUGCUUUGGAGCUUAUGAAGAAGCACAUUCGAGGUGGAGAGCUUGUCAGGGCUUCCAAAUUGAAGUCACUUGCACAGUUUGUCACAUUGGAAAAUAUUGUGUCUGAGAGAGAAAAUCUGAUUACUAUGUUCCGCUCAACGAAAUGGAUUGCUUCUAUCUGUGCAUCUAGAGAUAAGGGCAAACGCGUAGUUGAAAAGUUGGAAAACACCUCAUUUUGGAUUGCUGCAGCUGACAUCUUAAAGGUCACAAAUCCGCUGAUAAGUGUUUUGCAUCAGGUGAUUUUAAUGCUCGAUUAAUAUUUACUACAAUUAUAAAUCUUAAUAUCCUUUCACAUCAACACGCAAAAAUCAACUCUUAAUAGUUAGUUUAUAAGAAUGAAAUGUAUUAUCGUGUGGAGAUCAUUAUGGAAACUUAAAUUGAGUCCAACUGGUCGUGAAUUUUGAUGUAUCUUAGGAAUCAAACUAUUUAUCCAUCUGACAGCUGAUUUUAUGUAUCUUUGUUACAAUUAUAUACCUUUGUUACAGAUCUGUGAAAGUGAUAACGCUCCUAUGGGAUUCUUGUAUGAUGCUAUGGAUCACUCAAAAGAAAAGAUAAAACAAAAUUUUGGGGGCGAAGAAACGAGAUAUUUGCCAUUUUGGGAUAUAAUCGACAAUGUAUGGGACAACUUUCUUUAUAGUACUAUUCAUUCUGCCGCGUACUAUUUGAAUCCUUCUCUCUUCUACUCCGACGGAUUCUAUGUUGAUGCUGAGGUUACUACUGGGCUUCUUGACUGCAUAGCGCGUAUGGCUAAGGACCACUAUGUGAUAGCUAGACAACUUGAAGCAUACAGAACACCUGCGGGAUGUUUUGCUGAGCCGAUGGCUGUUGAUCAAAGAACAAGUGUUCCACCAGGUGAGUUAAUUCUUUUUUUCCUUUUAAUCUUCGUAACAUAUUUUAAAUUUAUUAAGCUUUGUGGAGCAAUAGACUUGCUUUAAUAUAAGGGAAUGCUGUAAUAUAAGGAAUACUAUGAUCUUCUCUUAUAGUUUUUACCUUUUAUGAUUCAUCUUUGCGGGUAAUGUUGUUGUGGAUUGUGGAUUACACACUGGGACUAAUGCACAUUUAAAAUGAAUAAUAUUGUCUUAUAUGUUCUGUAGAUACUUUACAGGAUUGAUCUCGCUUUAUCAUAUUUUCCAUAUUUUUAUAUGAAGGAUGUGAAUGCAUAUCACUUCAAAUCCUUGACGAUCACUUCCUUUUGGAACUACAGCACUAUGGUGGUCCCUUUAUGGGGGCCAAGCACCUGAAUUAACCGACAUUGCGGUUAGGAUCUUGAGUCAAACAUGUUGCUGUGCCUUAAGAUACAAGCUAGGGAGGGGCUUAUCAGAGCAGCUGCAUGCAGAAGGGAACUGUCUCGAGCAACAGCUAUUCCGUGAGAUGGAGUUUGUCCAUAACAAUCGCUAUCUUUGGAAGUGUGCAUCCGGCAUGGAAGAGACGGGAUUUAUUUGCGAAGAGAACCUCAACCUACUGAAGGACUGGAUCAUAGAGGACAAUGACAAAAGGUGAUCACGGCUGUCAGUUAUCUCUUCUUUCUGCAUUAUGUCCCAUAUCUGUAGUUAGGGAUUUUCCUUCCAAAUACAUGUAUUUGAGUGUAUAUCCCUCUUAGGUUAACAAGUUAUGCUUAAACCCUUAUUAGUGGUCCAUCUUUGCAUAUACGCCAUCAAAAGUCACAAAUUAUGCCUUAGCCUACAUUUGCUUGUAUGCAUUUUCUCUUGAGAGCUCAGGCCGAAAAGGUGGGUUUCUUUGCAAAAAAGGGCAUCUACUGAAACAUUCAUGGGUACGCCAUUUUGGCGCGAAAAGCUCUUAACAAAUGGGGGCAUACACCCGUGGAUGGGCUGUUUCAAAGGGAAUAGGUUAUGUUGUAACUUGAAAGAGGGUUAAACAUACAAAUGCAAGCUAUUUCUAAGCGUGAUAUGCAUAUUCGUGUAUUUCCAUCUCGGCCGGUUUACUCUGCAGGUAUGUUUCUGUUGGUGAUCAGUGACAUUAUCUUAGUUUCGGAGUAUAUCGAAUACAUAGCAAGUAUAUGCUUUCACUGACAUUUGCUACAGACCCUGAAACUAUGCCUUGAAUCUUAACCCAUCUUCUUCGUUGUAUCUUUUCUUAAUUUCCCAAUUCGUUUUCUAAUAACACCAGUUUCCCUGCAGACUCGGUACAGAAGAGGGAAAGACCUGAUCAACUUUUAAUGCCGACAACUUUGUGGAGAUAUCUUAUUGCUCAUUAAAGUUCUUGGGAUGGUAAAAGAAACUCCUUAAAAACAUGUAUAAAGUUUAAACUUAUCUACCAGCAAACUUUGUGUAGCCGAUGGCGGCAAAACUGCUGUACAUUGUUUGUUUUGCAUUUGCUCUGGUGUUGUGGUAGGAUGACUGCAAAAGUUAAUUAUGCUUUGUUUGUUACUCUUAUAACUGGAGGUGUUCUCAAUGUUUAAUCCAUGCAGGUUUCUGUUUGUUUUGUUUCGUUGUGACCGCCACUUUUGUUCAACAAGUUCGAACAUCGCUAAUUUAUAUAGUUGUUCAAGUUUGACGAGGAUAGGUUUUCUUUGGAAUGGUUUAAAUUCGGUUGGAAAUAUAAAGUAAUUAGAUUUUGAACUUAUAAUCUCGGUAUUAAACAGUAAACUCAUAGAAGAUGUUGAAGUAACUUAAAUAGCCCAGUGGCCCAAAUCAUCAGGUCGUAUGAAAUUACUGUAAACGUGCUUGUAGAGGCAUAAACUCUGUGGGACUCGACAUUAGAUGCUCGAGAAGUAGCGAGCAGUAAUAACUACUAAUAAAUAAAUGAGGGGAAAGAAAGAGAGAGAAAGCCAAUCCACUUUGAGAAAUUAUUGCAUGCACGCAGUGUACACAAUCAAGGUACUGAUGAUCUAAAAUAAUAAGUUCUUUUUCAAAAAAAUUAUAUAUAAAGUUUUAUCAAUAAAGAAUUCUAAAAUACACAAAUAGUUUUAUUUUUGAUUUUGAGACUUUGGCUCUCAUUAUAUGAGUUUCACAGAAAAUUUCACAUUAUUGUAUAACUAAUAAAAAGAGUUUUAAUUUUAAAUUAUGCAUGUAUUUUGAAGAUUUCGGUGUAUACGCUUCGGGUGCACGUAAUAAUUUCGCACCCACCCACCGCUUUUGGAGUUGUGUUUGGCGCGUUCUGUGGGCCGAUGUUGCCACCUCUCUCUCUCUCUCCAUCUCUUUGUCUUAAAUUUUUUUUAACUAAUUAAUUAAUUAAUUUUUUAAAAAAUAUUUUCGUAAUAAAAACAGUGCUGUUGUUUUCUCUGUUGUCUACUACCGGUUUGAAAUUUGAAACUCUUGCUUUCCACUUCCACCGCCACUCUCUUCGGACUUCGCCGCGGAGCAGCAACUCUCAUCAAUCUCUCUCUCUCUCUCUCUCAGGUAAAGCAAAAAAUCUCUUUAUUAUGCAUCUCUCUCUCUCUCUCUCUCUCUCUCUCUCUCUCUAUUUGUGUUUUUUGGGCAACAGAUGAGUUUGAAAACAAGUUUAUGUAGUACUGGGAAUAGGAUUUCAUUAGGGUUGUAAGGAUCAGAGCAGGUUCUCUCACUCUCUCCUCUUCCUUUUCUUUCUUAUUUUAAGCUCUUGCAAGCAUGUGAUUAGAGAAAACUCCCAGAUGGAUAUGCAGCUUUUUUCAGAAAAAAAAAAAAAAACAAAACAAAACAAAAAGGCAAAAAAGAGGGAAAGGGAAAGCAGAUGAUCCCCUAUACUUUACCCAGUCAUGAAUAAAAAAAAAGUUAGCACCAUAUCUCUUUUUAAGGCCAUUAUUUUGCUUAAAGCAUGCUUAAAAGAACAUUUGAUUUUCCACAUAAAUCAUCACACAGCUUUUGGCUUAUUACAUUUGGUUGGAGAUUUUACCUGCAUCGUUCAUUUGGAUUUCUCCGAGACCAUCAAAAUUUUUUGGAUUUGCAUUCCUGUGAUCUGUUUGCAAUUUCAUGCUUCUUCAGGUGGUCUGUUCGUAUAUUGAGUCUGGAAGAGGAGUAAUGUCAUGCAACAGAAGACUGCCCCAGAAUUCUUGCAGAUUCCAGCUUGAACAGGACGUAAGAGCAUGCGAUUUUGUCGCCGAACAUUCAGAAUCUUAUGUUCGAAUAUUUUUUCCAUGUGUUUUAAGUACUUUGCCUUGUAUUGCAGGUUAAAAGGCUUCAGCAAUUACUUCAGGAGGAGACGAAUUUACGUGCUGUCCUCGAAAAUGCGCUGGAGCAUGCAGCUGUGACAUUGUCCGAUUUAUCGUAUCUUCCGAAUAAUGUAUAUUUACCUCUCCUUUCUCCUUUUUUUUCCCCUGCUUUUAUGGAUGUUUCAGAAAUAUAUACUGAGGUUGUUUGACUUAGGACAGUGUAAAUGUUUGUUAAGCGAUGAACAUGCUGUUGGCUUAAAUGGAUCAGCAUUCUGCCAUUUGGCGGGACUAGAUUGGGCCGAGCCACGUUCGAAAUGGCAGGAGGUAGGGUUGGCCCGAGUCACGUUCGAAGUGGCCUGAGGCUGGUUGAGCCGAGUCACAAUCGAGACCUCUAGGCGCUGUAUCUGUACAUUUUAAGUGAAUUAGAUGCAUAUUUUUAACAGUUCGAACUUUUGGGAGUAAUGGUUAGCGCCAACGAUCCUACACAAGUGACCUCAUCCUUCUAAUCACUAUUUCACAAUGUGUUUUGUACACUAUUACUUACUUUCUUACGGCGUUUAAGCUGUGAUUCACUGUUGAAGACCAUAAAACUGUACGUGUUUCAAUCUGCGGUAAUCACUGUAGGAAGAACUUCUUUUCCAUUGCCAUUGAUUAAAAUUAUGUUACUUUUUAUUUCUUUCGCAGGCUCAAGAACUGCUGUCGAAUAUUUCCACAUUGGAGACGACUAUUCUAAGGCUCGAAGAAGAGAUGAUUUCUCUGCAUUUUCAGCUUAUCCAAGAGAGGAAUGAGAGAAGGCUUGCAGAGUAUCGGUUGAAACAAUUACCAUUGCAACCAUUUCCUGGUUGUUCUCAUCAAACGGAAACGGUACAUUCUAGCAUUUGCUAUUCUUUUUCUGUAGAACCGUACGACUAUCUUAGUUCUUGAUUCCAUACCACAUGUUUCACAUCCCACCAUAUCAUGGUCCGUAAUUGACAAAUAAACUAAAUGAAACCUCUGCCAUUUCCAAAAUUAUUUAGCAACAAGUUACUAGAGUUAACCUGAGGAUGAGAUGACAUUUGAUUUUUUAGAUUUAUUUAUUUUUUAUUGUGCAACAAGGUUUUUGUGAUAUGAAUAAAAUUACUCGUUUAUAAUUUUCUGAUAUAUUCUAGUUGAUACUUGCAUUAGGGACCAUUAGAUGGCAAGAUUGCCCAAGAGGAGUUGGCUGUUCCUCAAGUCCGUCAACGAGAAGUUGGCAAGUUACAGAAACAGGUUUCAGUGAAAGGUCUAUGUAAUUACCCUAACAAGCUGUCGGAAGAGAUAGUCCGAUGCAUGAGGAACAUCUUUAUCUCAUUAGCAGAUUCUUCAGUGGUAUAUCCCAAAUCUUCUGCACAGGAGAAGCUGCCGUCUUCUCCUUCUCCUACCGGCCGGUAUUCAGUUUCGUCAUACUGGUCUUUGUCGGAGCCUCGGACAACUUCAUCAUGGGAACAGAGCCCUCAAGUUGUUUCGGAGUGUAGUAAUGAACUUCUCGCCUCAGAAGGUGCUUUUGAUCCAUAUAGAGAUCGCGAAAAACUCGGUUGGGCCGACAUUGGAAACUACGGUUUAGCAACCGAGGUUUCGUGGAUGUCAGUGGGAAAGAAGCAGCUUGAAUAUGCUGCUGAGGCACUAAGGGAAUUCAGGUGCACUAUCAUUAAGUUAAAUCUCAUUUUACUAACUUUUCAUAAGCAGCUAUGUUCCCAGUUUGAAGUAAGCGAUCAGUUCUAAUAUCCACUGCUUAGAUUGCAGAUCACUAAUUGAACAGCUGGGAGAAGUAAACCCCGUUCAGCUUAAUCAUGAAGAGCGGCUGGCCUUUUGGAUCAACUUAUACAAUGCUCUAAUGAUGCAUGUGCGUUACUUACUUCGGCAAAUGUUGCUUGUUGGCCUUUUGUUCAACCAGCCAAGAACUCUUCACUCUACAUAAAGCAGGAUUCUUUUAAGAACAAUUAAGCAUGCAUAAUAUAAUGAAAUUUUGCAUUAUCUGAUUGCAGGCUUAUCUUGCUUAUGGAGUUCCAAGAAGCGACAUGAAACUCUUUUCACUAAUGCAAAAGGUUUGUUGAGCUUGGUGUCAGUCAUUUGGCUACUUUGUGUGUCUCCUAACUGCUUGUAGUACAGCACUAAUACAAAUGUGGAGUUGGCUUUCAGUAUAAGUUGACAGCAUUAUCUUAAUCACUUUCCGCAUUAUGCAUGUGGAGUGUGCUUUUAUUGUCGAAACUUUGCUUGUUAAUAUACCUUAUUAAUCUUAUUCUAGGAUGAUGAACAGCAUUUCGUGGUUUACUACUAAUCACGAGCCUGAAUUCACUUUAUAAUGUCAUGGAAAAAAAAAAAACUCGCAUAUCACAAUAUAAUGCGUUGCAAGCGACUGACACUACCCCUUCUCAUUACAUUAUAGGCAGCAUACACAGUUGGGGGCCAUUCAUUUAGUGCUGCUUGCAUUGAGUAUGUGAUAUUGAAGAUGAAGCUGCAAACCUACAGGCCACAAACGGUAUUUACACUGGCACUUUUACUGUAUAGCAGUAAUACAGUAAUUAUUAAUUCUAGCCUUUGUUUGAUAUACCUAUCAGAAUGGUUGAUACCUUUUCCGAUUUGCAGGCUUUUCUUCUCGCCCUUCACAAGUUGAAGACAUCAGAAGAGCAUAAAAAGUUCUCUAUUGAGAAAUCUGAGCCGCUCAUUGCAUUUGCUCUAAGCUGUGGGAUGUUUUCUUCUCCAGCGGUAUAAUUCUCUCAGCUAUGUUAUUUGUUAGUUUAGCUAUCUUACCUGUUUAAAUGCCUUAUAUAAUCAGUAGUAUAUUGAAGACUUUUUUUUGCUGAUAGGGUCGAAAAAAUGUCCUACAGCUACAUAAUGGAUGUAUAUGUUUUUUCAGGUGAAGAUAUACACCCCCAUCAAUGUGAGAGAAGAGCUCCAGGAUGCUCAGCGUGACUUUAUUCGAGCCUCAGUGGGGGUGAGCCGGAAAGGGAAGCUUAUGAUCCCGAAGAUGCUCCAAUGCUUCGCCCGCAGCUUUGUCGAUGAUGCUAACUUGGCAAUGUGGGUGCCUCGCUUCCUCCCUCAGCAACAGGCGGCUUUUGUUGAACAAUGCAUAUCGCAGAGGCGGCAGAGUGUCUUCGGCUCCCACAGUUUUGGCAUCCUUCCUUUCGAUUCUCGAUUCCGCUAUCUCUUCUUGCCUGAGAAACUACCCUAAAACUCUCCCUCCAACUACACACUCAAUCGCUAACCUAAAAGAACCUAACUGGUAGGAAUGAAUUCAUUUUUCUUUUUCCCUUCUGAUAUUGAGCAAAUUUUCAGAUACUAAGACCGAAUAUUGAUACAGGAAGAAAUUGACAUGAUACCGAGUUUCACCAACAUGCUUCAUGUGAACUCUACUAAGCUGAGGAAUCACAACAUGCCUGCGAGAAGCUCUUGGCCCUCGGCACACCUAAUAGUUGCAUUGCUCUCGAACUAGUAAGGCUUGUUCCCUCAUGUGAAUUUGUCAGUCUCCUCAUUAGACGAUAGAAGAGGUGGAUCUUUAAAUUAUGGUUGUCGAAUAAUUAGGUCAAGUCUAGUAUAAUUGUUAUCAGACAGUAUAUUUCAGUUGUAUCCAAGGUUAGAUUGCAGAUGAUCCAUCUUCUUGAUGAUCUAUCAGUAGAAGUUGUACAUUUCUUUGUUAACACUUUCGCAAGUAGUAGUUCAAUCAUCUCUUUUCCAGAAUUGUCAUGUUGGUUUGCAUCUAUUACGAUUAUUGUUGAAAUGUACAGAGUAACGAGUAACAAUUAAUCGAAGGGACAAAUUUGUGCGCCAACAAAUUGAUCUUUAUAAGAAAAAAAGAGACAUUAUAUCAAAAACAAGUACCCAAUGAGACAUGAAACAACUGAUUCAGUUUUUUCACCACUGGUUUGAGUGUCAUGCUGGAAUACGCCUUGCAGCAAAAUAAAUCCUGUGCUUCAGGGGCCGUCAUCUCCAUCCUUGAUUAGAUUACAAAUGUCUGAGCACUCAACAAGGCUUAUUAAAAAAGCAAAAAAUGGAGAUGAAUUAAUUAUCCUUCAGAAGAAAUUAAGGGGUGUUAAGCACAUAAAUUGCUGAUAACUAAAACUCACCAGUAUUGGCGAGUGCGAAAUCCUUGUUUGAACACUACAAGAGGCCUGCAUGUCGAACUCCCAAAUAUCAUUCCUUUAUGCAAGCUUAGCUCAACUAGCUAGAUCGAUAUUGUAAAUAAUAUAAGUUUAAAGCAAUUCUAAAAUCUAAACUCCUGUUUAUUGUAAUUGUAAAUUAAUUAAUUUCACAUGUCUCUCAUAUCAAUCGUUUUGAACGGGACAUGCAUGGAUGCUACCAAAGUUGAGAAAUAAUAGUCAAUCAAUUAUACCUCCUGACGUUGAGUGGGCCUUCGCCGGGGGAUCCGGCGCCACCACGAAUGCAGGUGCCGACGCACUUGGCCGUGCAGGACUCCGCCUUCCGCGACUUGGGCCGCUGGAUCCGAGCUCGCCUGGCGUCAUCCCCUGCAUGUAUGUUGCACAUGUGCGACGAGAUCAAUCCGAUUCGCUUGAAUUUCCUGCGAGCUUAUUCAUUCAUUCAUUCAUUCAUUUGUUACCGGAGAGGGUCUGGGGAACGUUGGAGAAUGCGUCCGGCGACGGCCGCGGUGGCGAUAGGACGACUGCAAGGGUGAGGAGAACUGGUGCAGGGUUGAAGAAACUGCGAGUGCUCCAUGACUGCUUCUUAUCAAUGCUAUUGCUAUUAUUAUUAUCAUUAUUUAGAGCAGUUCGCAUAUGAAUGCAGGCAUAGAGCCGAAAGGGAUGGAAGAGUAAGGAAGAAGAAGAAGAAGAAGCAGGGAUGAGGAGAAUUCGCGGAAACAUAACAUAACAUAACAAAACAUAACAUUAGAACAGAGGAUAUGGCUAUGAGGGAGGAGGAUGUGGGGUUGGAGUUGAGUUACUUCUACUCCACUCGUUGAGUGGGGGAGUGAAGGGUUCAUAAGCGGAAUCAGAAAUUUGAAUGGCUCUAGCUCCCCUUGGGUACUGGACAGAGAUCAACGGUCCUGAGAAUAGGCACGUGGUGGGAGAUACACAUGGACGGUUCUGAUGAUGUGAUUUGAAACCAGGAGCUUUUUUUUUUUUUUUCUUUUACUUUUUAAUAUAAAUAUUUGAUCACGCUUUUGAAGAUUACAGCUACAAGAGUAAAUCGAAAAAAGAAAUAUGCUGAAGAAAAUGUUCUUAUUUCUCUAAAUAAGGUUAAGAUUUAGCGUUUAUUAGAGACCUCAGGCGCUUUAGACUCGAACCAGGACUCGAAGAAAUAAUUGCAUCAUCUCGAAAGGUCUAAUUGCCAAACUAACAUGCCAUUUUGGUUCAUGCAUGAAUCAAUCAUAAAUUUUAUGAAUUUUAGAUCGAUACAAACACAUUAAUAAUUUAUAAAAUCUCUUAGUUGGUCUCAUUUGUUUCCUUCACAGAAUAAAUAUAAACAUAUUUUGAUUUUCUUAUGUAUAUUUAUAUGAACUAUUUACCUAUCUAGCUUCUUUACAAAAAAAUAUUCCCUAUCUAGCCUCCUUUUGAAAAAUAUUCCCCAUCUAGCCUCAUCUUCAAAGAUUAGAGAAAAAAAGAGAAAUUAAUUCCUUUAAUAUAUAUUAAGGGGUUAAGUGGGGAAGAUUAUCUUUUUCUCUCUCCUCUCCCAUUAAUUUUUAUAUCAAAAUAAUCUUGAUUCCAUUCGGCCUAUAAAUUUUAUGUUUUAAUGUAUUAAAACCUAAAGUACGAGAAAUCCAAAUAGUUUUGGAUUAGGACCAUUAUAAUCAACUCCUUCCGAACCAUGCAUAAUAUUUCCAUCAAAAUAUAAAAAGAUUGGAAUUGGUUGAUGCGCUAUAUAAAAAUUUUCUAUUUUGAAAUAAAUCGAUAUGAGAUAAAUUAUACGCAAAAAUUAGAGAGUGAGAAGGGAUCUCGGGAAAUAGGAGAGGAGAGAGAAAAAGAUAAUUUCCCCCACUUAACCCCUUAAUAUAUAUUAAAGGUAUUAAUUUCUCUUUUUUUCUCUAAUCUUUGAAAAUGAGGCUAGAUGGGGAAUAUUUUUCAAAAGAAGGCUAGAUAGGGAAUAUUUUUUUGUAAAGAGGCUAGAUAGAUAAAUAGUUCUAUUUAUAUUUAUAAUGAGCAAAUGUAUUUUUCAAAAGAAUGUCUUGAUGCUUUUGUUUGGGAAUAAAUCUGAAAUAGUGGAUAUGGUUCACAUCUACCACGAUUUCAUUCAUCAGGUUGUAAACCUAAUAAUUUAUUUAUUUAUUUAUUUAUGGCGUAUACAUGUAAAUCGAUUCAUAUGUAUUUGUACUCUGCUGCUGCAGCAAUGCAGAGAACCCUGCUUCAUGUUUCAUGUUUCAUCUUUCGCUCUGAUUACUUUAAUCCUACCUAGUUAUUAUAUUGUACGAACGUUGCAGGUAAAAAUAAUAAUAAUUUGGACCCCGUGAAUCCCUGUCACACCCACUGCUACAUGUAUGGACGAAGUUAUAUUUGGGACAUGCUCAAGAGUACUAUAUUACUUCAUUUCAAGGGAACUUAAGCUAGAAAUCCUACAAAAAUUAUAAGAGAAAUAUUUCGUAAUUUUGGAUACUUUAGCAUGCCGAUUGCUGGGAUAUUAACAAACAUCUAUCGUAUGCACUAUCAUAAUUACGUAAAAAUGCUUUAGAUAUCUAUGUAAUAUUGUCUUUAAUAUAUUAGACAUUGUUAAUACAACAAUAAUUUUAUGUGACAUUUUUGAAAAGUAAAAAAGUAUAAAAGAUAUGUGAACUAUCGAUCAUUUCCAAUUGGUUAUUCAAAUUUUAAAAAUUUUAAUUUUAACUUUUUAAUUUUUAAAAAUGAUUUGAAAACAACACUUUUACUUUAAAAUUUAAAUUAAUUAAUUAUUUUAAUAAAUUUACAGUUAUAUAAAUUACAUAUAAUAUUAACUAAAUAUACAUAGGUAAACGAUAUAUUAACUUUUAUAUUUAAAGUGUUUUUGGUUUACUUAAAAUAAAUAAUUUGACAAAUCAGAUUAUCUAAUUAAAAUGAAAUAUAAUUCAGACAAAUUGGAGAUGCCUUUUUAAUUUUUUUGAAUUGUGCACGUACUAAAGUAGUCAAAAGUUUCAGACAUGUACUCUUCUCGUCUCAUCAAUGUGUCACAGUGUGUUAUUUUUUUGUUUUUUUUUUUUUCCUAUUUGAGAUUCUUUUCUCUUUCUCGUCUAACAAGUGAUCCCACAUAUAAAUGUAUAAUUGUAGGGCCCUGAUCUCUUUUUAAUGAGACGCGGUUUCUCUACUGAAAAAGCUGAAGAGAAAAGAGAAAAGAGCCAAAAAAAAAAGAAAAAAGAAAAAAAAAAGAAGCUUUAGAAAGGUGGCACGAUCAAUAUAUAUUACCAUGUAGUAAUAAUAAUAAGAAAUGGACAACGUAUUAACAGAGUCUAUAAAAUUUUACGGCCCCCAUGCAUUACCUCUCUCCUCUCUUUCACUGUAAUAAGCUCCACGUUCUCUUGUCUUUGUAAACUCACCGACGCGAAACUAUGGCCUACAUUUGAUGCAUGCAUAUAUCUAAUACAUUUCGUGCAUUGUACAAUAUCUAAGGAAGCAUCCAUUUUCUUUUUCUUUCGGUGCAUGUAUAGCUUUUGAAGGACUUAUUAGAUUCAUUUAUUAUUAAUAAGAUGAGGUGAUAGAUAUGCAUGGCCAUCCUUUCCAGGUUGUGUAUACAUAUGCAUGGUUUGAUAUCUUUUGAGAGAAAAAUAUAGAUUCGUACAGAAAAAGAGAAAAAGAGUAGAAGAAAAUAGCAAAAAUAGAUAACAAAGCACGUUUUUUUUUUAUGCCCAGAGGGGAUUGGAAAAAAAUUUAAAAAAAAUGAACACAAGUAAGCAUGUAAAAAAGAGGUUAGGUUAAUUGAUCGUGGUCAUUAUUUAUUAGUGCUUAAAAUGGUGAAUCGUAUGUGUAUCGGGACAUUUAAUGCACGGUCGCAAAGAGUAAAGAAGAGAUUGAAAAAUUGAGUUACGGCGGAACAACAACAGCCCCAGCUGGAAGCAUGAAAUUGAAACUUAUUAGAGAUCAGUCAAGAUUCUUCGUCCAAAAAUUAUAUCCACCGACGAAAGUAUGUCGGAGUAGAAAUUUUUACAAAUUACGUACAAAAAGUUAUUGUCCUUAUGCCCCGUCAAGAAAAGUUUUUUUUUUUUAAAGAAAAUCAAUUAUUUCUGUUCAAAUUCUGCAUGUAGAUAGAUUUUUCUUGUAUCUUAGCUUCUGAUGUUUGAUCUGGUCCGGUUAAUCAACUUUGGUCGACUCAGUAGAAAUCGAACCAGGCAAGCCACAUUGGACGGAUUAGUCAGGAUUUAGGGUGUAGGGUUGGUUUUUUAAUUUUUUUAAUUUUUAUUUUUAACUAUAUUUUAUGGCGAACCAUAGUUGAAGGUUGGGUAAGCUGGCCAUAAUAAAUGGGCCGAGUCAUUAAUUAAACAGUGUUGGCAGGCACCAAGGACAGAGGGUCUCGUCCUUUCAGGAACAGAUGCACUAUGAUAUAAUAAUAAAUAAAUAAAUAAUAAAUAAAUAAUAAUAAAAUUUAUAUUUAGUACGUAAAUGAUCUUCUCUUUACCAUCUGAAUCGUCCCGUAUCCUAAACCCUAAACCCUAAUUGGUACUUCUAAAUUGAACACGGUCUCUGAGUCGAAAAGUGAAGAUCAAUAUAUAUAUAUAUAUAUAUAUAUAUAUAUAUAUAUAUAUGAACAUAAUAAUUUAGGUAUUAUAUUUUAAAUAUAAUUUGAAAUACUGCGUUUAAUUUAUGAAUAUUAGAAUGGCUCUCUUGUUGCACCGAGAGAAUGAUUUAAAUAAAUACAAAGUUUACUAAAAUCAUUUGUAAAUUUUUUAAUUUAUUGAAGGGUUAAGUGCAAAAGAAAGUUCAAAAAAAAUUUAAAAAGAGAGAGAGAGAGAGAGAGAGAGAGAGAGAGAGAGAGGAAGCAGCCAAGCGCCAAGCAAAGCAGAGGGACACCCCCCACCCCCAUGCAGUGGAAGAGCAAACCAUCCAUGUUAUUGUUAUUAUUAUUAUUAUUAUUCCCCUGAUCAUCUCUUUGGAUCUCAUCAACCCCCAAACCCCAUCAUCUCCCCAUCCACGUGAUGUGAUCUCCAUCUCCAUCUCCCCCUCUUCCUCCUCCUCUCUUUCCUCACAUAUUCUCCUCCUCCAUUAGACCAUUACUGUAUCCAACCAACCAACCAACCAACCAACCCAUUACACAAUCAUGGAGCUGCCGGGUUCUCGAGCGAGAAGCGUAGCGACGACGACGGCGAUGUUCUUCGCGGCGACGCUUCUGCUGCUGAUCAUCUCGGCGGCGUCGGCGUCGGCGUCGGCGUCGGUGGAGCCGCCGGCGUCGUGGUCGUUCCCGAACGCGCGGCUGCGGGCGGCGUACGUGGCGCUGCAGACGUGGAAGCAGACGGCCAUCUUCUCGGACCCGCGGAACCUGACGGGCGGCUGGUCGGGCCCGGACGUCUGCUCCUACUUCGGCGUGUUCUGCGCGGCGCUGCCGUCCGACCCCUCGCUGACGGGGCCGGCUUCCUCCCCGACGAGCUCUUCCUGGGCCUCCCCGACCUCGCCCUCUUCCACCUCAACUCCAACCGCUUCUGCGGCACCCUCCCGCGCGCCCUCGCCGGCCUCGCCCUCCUCCACGAGCUCGACCUCAGCAACAACCGCUUCGUCGGCGCCUUCCCGGGCGUCGUCCUCGACCUCCCCGCCCUCCGCUACCUCGACCUCCGCUUCAACGAGUUCGAGGGCCCCAUCCCCGCGGGCCUCUUCGACCGCCCCCUCGACGCCAUCUUCCUCAACUCCAACCGCCUCCGCCGCCCCAUCCCCGCCAACCUCGGCGACUCCCCGGCCUCCGUCGUCGUCCUCGCCCACAACCGCCUCGGCGGCUGCAUCCCGCCCUCCAUCGGCCGCAUGGCCGACACCCUCAACGAGAUCGUCCUCCUCGACGACGGCCUCGCCGCCUGCGUCCCGCCCGAGGUCGGCCUCCUCCGCCGCCUCACCGUCUUCGACGUCAGCUUCAACCUCCUCCAGGGGCCCCUCCCCUCCGCCCUCUCCGGCGCCGCCGACCUCCAGCAGCUCGACGUCGCCCACAACCGCCUCACGGGCGCCGUCCCGGAGGCCGUCUGCGCGCUGCCCAGGCUCGAGAACUUCACCUACGCCUACAACUUCUUCACGUCGCGCCCGCCCGCCUGCCCGCCGGCCAUGGACGGCAGGUUCAACUGCAUCCCCGGCCAGCCGUCCCCGCGCCCGCCGGGCCAGUGCGCCGCCGCCGCCGCCCACCCCUUCGACUGCACCAAGUCCGACUGCUCCCGCCACCAUUACCCCUACCCCGUCCCCUUCCCUCCGGCGCCGCCGGCCCAUGAAUGGAGGCGGGGCUACAUUCCGCCGCCCGCCCCCGUCGGCGGCCCCACCAGGGGCAACUUACGCCGCCCGCCCCCUCCCGCCGCCAACUCUCACACAACUCCCCCCGCCUUUCCGGCUACUACGCCGCCGCCGCCUUCGUCCGCAUACCAGCCCGGGCACCGAAUGCCGCUGCCGCCUUACCAUCCCACUCCAUCGCCCUCCUCGCCGGCGGGUUCUUCACCGCCUCCGGGAUCGCCGACAGCUCCGUCGUAUCAGACGCCGCCGCCGCCGAAGGGUCACGACGGAGGGCUGCCAUUCCCGCCGGUUGUCGGCAUUCCCUAUGCGUCUCCGCCGCCGCCGGCCAUUCCCUACAACUGAAUCCUUCCUACCAUAAUCUCUUCUUCUUCUUCCUCCUCUUUUUUCCACUCUCUAUUUUUGCAAUUAAGAAGUGUCUGAUUAUUAUUAUUAUUAUUAUUAUCAUCAAAAUAUUAUUAUUAUUAUUGAAUUAAAGUGUUGUAUUCUAUCCCUUUUCGCCUUAAUUUCCCCUGUAAACUGGAGUAAAGUGUUGGCUGUUGGUUGUUGAGUAUGCAGAAGAGUCGCCUCCUCUUUUUUGCUUUAAUUUUUUUUUUUUUGUUAAUCUCUGCUGCUGCUGCUAAUGCUAAUGCUAAAACAAAAUUACAACAAGUAAAGUAGAUGAUUUCUUUAAAAAACUUUCCUUAAAAAAAGAAACAUCAAAAUUUCUUUUGGUACAGCCUCAAAGUUACUUUCGGAUCGAUCUAACGUCACGUCUCUCUCACAAUGGCAUGUUUGUGUUUUUGGAUCCAUAGAUUAGGUGUGGACGAGAGAGAGAGUACCAAGUGUUAAGUGUGUGUGUGUAUGUGGAGAACAGAGAAGAGUCAUAAAUAAUUGAGGAGCAGUUGAGCAAAUUCGUUCAAUUUCGAGGUACCGCGUAGCAUUAUGGCUCUGCUCUAGUAACUGUAGAAUUUACUGUUUUUGCGCUUCAGAAUAUAGUAGUUUAUUAAUUAGGUUAAAUUAAAAUUUGUAGAGCUUAUGUUAACUAAAAAUUAUUUUAAUUCGUCUGUCUAAAUUUUUGAAGUUUUAAUUUUAUUGUCUCAUUUUUUAACUUAUUUGAUUUAAAUCGGUUAAUAGUAUUUUGAUUUUAAAUUUUAGGCUAAUUAUUUUGUAAUUGUGAGUUUUAAAAAUAAAACAGUGUUGGCUGACUCAAAUUAAAUAAAUUAAAAGAUUAAAUAAUAAAACUAAAAUUUUAAAAAAAUUAUAUAGUCAAAUUAAAAUAGUUUAUAAUUCAGAUAAGUUCAGUAAGCUUUUGUCUAUUUAUUAUAAUUUUAUGACCUUUUUUAGGAAAGAAUUAUAGUUAUAAAUGUAAUCUAAUUAGACUACAGUUACAUUUAUCUUUUUUUCUUAAUUAUAUUAGAAUAAUAAAUAAAUAACCAUCCGAAAUAUUUUUUGUGGAAUUUGCUUUGGGACGAAAUAAUAAUGAUAGCAACAUUAAUGAUGAGGCAGCCUGGUGGUUGGUUGGCAGUGUCGAGAGCACGAGGAUGUCUAUUAUAUCCCACUUACACCACAUCAUCAAUAUUCAGUCAAUUAUAUCGCUCAUUUUAAAAAUAUAUAUAUAUAUAUAUAUAAUAAAAAUAUUUUUCUAAUAACUAUGAUGGGAUGGAUUAAUCGAAAAAAAUAGUCUAAUUAGUUGGAAACACCAUAUCAGUAAUAUAACUGAUAUAUUCUAGACUAUUUUCGAGAGUAGCGAGUGACAACUCAAGAAUGAAUUUGGAUGAGGACGGAGAAAUGUUGCUUGUACAUUCUAAAAGUUAAUUAUUAAUUGUAUAUUUUUAUUAAAAAAAUUAUAAAUAUUUGUAAUUUUAAAAAAAUCAGUAAAAUUAGUUAAAAAUAAAGUUUUGGUUGAAAAAAAAAUAAAAUAAAGCUUAUACUUGUUUUUCAUAUGUAUAAAUAAUAUAUAUAUUUUUUUGAGAGAUAGGUAGCACGCGCUACCCGUUUCGUUUAUUUCAUUUAGAAAUAGACUUAGCUAGAAAUAUGAAUCAAUUAGGAUUCGAACUUGGAUCUCGAAUACCAAUCACCAAGCUCUUUGCCACUUGCGUUAGGAACGGUCGGUUAUAUAAAUAAUAUUGCUCAUGAGGGAAUAAUAGCUGUGUGGGGUUGAGGGUGGGGGAAGAUUAAAUGAGUUAGGCUUGGUUGGGUUUGGUUGGGGUGUAGGAUAAGGAGGAUUGUGUGUGUGUGUGUGUGUGUGUGUGUGUGUGUGUGUGUGGGGAGAAGUGGAAGUGGAUCUGCUUAUUGGAGUGAGUGCCCUCAUGGCCAGUAGCGGUGCUAGUAAAAUAGUACAUUUAUUCACAUGCAAUGGGAUUCCUAUUAAUUAUUUAAAGGCCUUUUUGCAAAAAAAAUUUACUAUUUUUACGCUUUUACAAAAUUGGGUCGCUAUUUUUUAUUUUACAGAUUCGAUCUAAAUUUUCAGCAAACUGACCAAAAUACUCUUAUUAUUUUUUCUCUUUCCUUUUUUUUUUUUCUCGUUCUUUUUUCCUCUCUUCGCUUCUGCGCCGUCUCCCGCCUCGCCCUCCGCUGCGACCGCUGCUCUUACAGCAUCGGCGACGUGGUGCUGGCGGCCGUGGCCCUCCACUGCCCCGUCCUCCGCAAGCUCUCUGUCGCCUCCUGCGCCUUCGGCGCUCCAGGCAUCCUCGCCGUCGUCCGCAGAUGCCCGCUCCUCGAGGAGCUCUCCCUCGAACGCCUCUGCGGCCUUGACUCCCUGCUCCUCGUCGACGACAACGACGCCGGCGGCAACGCGGCCUCGUCCUUGCUCCAAUCCAUCUGGUGAUGAAUAAUGAAGAGCAAACAAAGAUGCACGAGAUAGAAAAAAAAAUAAAAAUAAAAAAAUAAAAAAAAUUGUCUCUUUGAAAAACUAUUAUGUAUCGUUACUAUUAUCGGAUAAGGCCAAAAAUCAGAAAAAAAAAAAAAAAGAAGAAAGAAGAAGAAGCAAAAAAUUAGAGAAAAAGAAAAAAGAAGAUGGAGGUUGCACUGUUAAAAUUAAAUUACACUAUUUUAAAAAAAAAUUGCACUGUUUAAGAUGAAUGGUAUACUCUUUAAAAUAAAAAUUACACAAUUUCGCCAAAUUUUACACUAUUUCACCCAAAAUUGUACUAUUUCUUCCAAAAUUGUACUAUUUCUCCUCCUUCUCUUCCUUUUCCUGCUUCUUUUUACACCAUUACACCAUUACACCGUAACAACAAAAAUCUUCUAAAAAUCGAGCCGGAUUUACCUACGCCGCCGACUCGCCCCAUCCCUCCGCCACCUUCGCCGCUCCCGUUCGAGCACGAGAACAAGCGUGAGCGCGAGCGAUCCCCGCAUCGCGAGUGCCGCCGCGGAGUUUCGCGGCGCACGACAGCGCCGCCUGAUCUAGGGCUAUGCCUAUCCGGCUCGAGAGCGCCGCGGCGGGGACGCAGGAGCUCGACGACGACGACGCCGACGCUGAGGACGUCGUCGUCGGCGUCGGCGGCGGAGGAGGGGGCGGAGGGGCAGGGGCAGGGGGGUCGGUGGGGCCGCAGGAGGGGCAGAGCGCAGGGAUCGGCAGGGGGUGCGGGGCGUCAGCGCCGGAGAAGCGGUGGCUGAAGUCUGCGGCGCGGCACGAGGCGGCAGACGUGGCGGGCGACGAGGAAGUUGGCGCCGUGCACGGCAGCGUCACAGGACCAACAGAGGGGGGUGACGUCGUGGGAAAAUGAGAGGCUGCAGAAGGAGGAGGUGGUUCGUCGUUGUCGGAGAAGGCGAUGGGGAACUUCUCAAGAAGAAAAUAACGAAGGAAAAAAAGAGAGAGAGAAAGUAAAGGAAUAAGAGUAUUUUCGUCCGAUGGCAAAAAAUUCGACUCGAAUCUGCAAAAUUGAAAAAUAUGGCACAAUUUUGCAAAAGCUCAAAAUUUGUGAAUUUUUUAUACAAAUUGGCCUUAUUUAAAUUAUACAAAAUAAUUAAUUUUUAAAAAAAUUUAUGCCACUUAAUACCUGUUUAAUAUUUAUAUUCAGCAUGUUUUCUGACGUUUUGAUUUAUGACACAUAACAUGAAUUUAAAUAAAUUAAAAAAAUUAAAUAAUACUAGAAGUUGACAGGACUUUGAUUUCAUAACUUUUUGCUCUGACACCGUAUUAAAGAAUGUACAAUAAUUAUUAUUAUUAUUAUUUAAAAGCUUAAGCUAGUAAAAAAUAAUAUUUUUAAUAUUUAUAUUCAAAUAAAAAUGUGUAGAAAAAUCCUCUCAACAAUAUUUAAUAAGUGAUUAUGAAAUAAAAGUUUGAAAUGUCAAAUGGAGAAAAACCCUCUCAUCAAUUUUUUAAAUAAAUAAAAAAAUUUUAAAGGGUCUGUGAACUUUAAUAUAGGAGGCCGGUAUAUUAGAAUGUACAACUAGUAAUUUUUUUUCAUAGUGCUAGUUAAAUCAUUAAGACUUUAUUUGGAAUUGCGGAGCGAUUACGUUACAUGCGGUGAAAAAGUAUGAUGAAAACAUACUUAUUUGUUUUUAUACAUAAUAUUGCGUUCCGCAUAUCGCGAUGAGUCGGUUAUAAUAUAUUUUUUAUGAUCCCAUCAGAGAAUGUAGAAUUAUAGCUCUAUAUAUUUUUACCCUAACACUAUUUUAUCCAAUAGUGUUAGAUGAGAUUCAGUACCAAACUAAGCCUAAAUCUAAUGAACCAUGUAAUUGAAAGCAACUAAAUUAUAAAAGGACAGUUACAAAAAAUGAAUCAAAAUGUAUUAGAUGUUAUUUCAAAGGCCUCUAUAUAACUGAAGGUGUCUGCAUACAAUUCUACCUUGUAAUUCUUAUAAUUAUUACUUAUAUUACUAUUAUUAGAUCACAAAGAAGAGGGAGCACGCCUGUGUCGUUUGCCCCAGUGUCGGUGCUGCCCCCAGAAGCCAAAGCCAGAGCCAAAACCCAAUGGAGAAGCAGCAGCAGCAGCAGAGGAGCAGUUGCAACAAGUUACAACAACAGCAGCAACAACAAGGGCAGUAUAGCUCAUUGAUGGAUUAAACCUGACACUCUCUCACUCACCCACGUGAUUCAGUAAAAGAUAUGCUGAUCCACUGUCGCUACAUUUGCCAUAUAAGGGAAAACUUUAAAUACCAUUUCUGUUGCUUCGCACUUUUUUAUUUUAGUACUCCGUGAUUUAAAAUUUAUCAAGUUAGUAUCUUAUAGUUUAGCACUUUCUCACUUUAAUAUCAUGUGGCUUAAAGUGCAUCAAUUUAGUACCCUUUGGUUCCAUUUUUUCUUUUCGUCGGCUCCUCUGUUAAUAUUUUGUUAAAUUAUAUACAAAAAACUUCAUAUAUCCUGCCUAGGUUCAUCGAAUAUUUACUUUAGUACCUUUUUGGUUUUAAUUUUGUCACUAAUUUUUUUCCUCCAUUAAUAUUUCGUUAAAUUAUAUACAAAAAACUUUAGGUACCCUACCUAACUAGGUUUAUCCAAUAUUCACUUUAGUACCUUUUAAUUUUAACAUUAUCAUUGAUUUAACAAAAAAAUUAGUAAAAUGGAUAAAAAAAAGAGAAAAAUAAAACCACAGGGUACUAACUUGAUACAGUUUAAACGACAGAGUACUAAAGUGAGAAAGUGCAAAACCACAGGGACUAACUUGAUACACUUUAAACCACAGGAUAUUAAAGUGAGAAACUGUGAAACCACAGGGGGGUAUUUGAAGUUUACCCUUGCUAUAACAGUAGUUGCUGGAUCUCUCUUUUGUUGUGGGUUCCUUAAUUAUAGGGUUAACAUAAGUUGAUCCAUUAAUUAUGCAAACUUAAUUGCCACCGAUCCAUUAAUUUAAUAAGUGACUUAAUAUCCUAAGUUGAUUAGUACUACUUAAGCAGUAGAGUUAUUAAACCAUCAGUGAAUAUUGAAAAAUAAGUGAAGAUCACGCAGCAGAAAAACCUUCUCAUCCAUCAGCCAAGCGACCAACAUAUGCUGUCCUAAAGAGAAAAGUAUUUAGUAUGUAUUUCAAUUACUCUCUAUGCAAAAAAGUUACAUCAUUUUUGGUAUAUGGAGUAUAACUCGGGCUUUUAACAUUCCGUGCCUUUAUCGAUCAUACCUAAAAACUUAAUGAUUGGUAUUUCAGAUCCCUUAUUCGAAGUGUAGUUACUUUACAUUUCUAGCUUAUUUUUUAAAAAAUAAAUAAAUAAAUAAAUGAAACGAUACUUUUCUUUUAGGAAAAAAAAAAUACAUAUUUGGACCAAUUGGGCCUAACAAGUUUGGCGGACUCGUGGGCUAGUCAGGUUGUCGAGCACAUAAUCACUCUACGCUUAAAAAAAAAAAGAAAAAAAAAAGAAAAAAAAAAGAAGAAGAGUUGUAGAUGAACCUUAAAACCUUAGAAAAGGCCUAAGUACCUCAGAAAUGUUAAAUGGGCCACAUUGGGCCAAUACUUGUUUCAGGCCAAGGCCCAAAAGCUCGAACGCCUACGAGAGAUGCUGUUUAUAUUCUUUUCUGAUGAGGUCCAUUCUCAUAUUUCAUCCUCGCCAUCUCGCAUAUCAAUGACAAAGAAACGUAAAUGGAAAUGAGAGAAUUGUUCUAGAGUUUUCUUCUUCCAAUAUAUAAAAUAAUUAUGAAAGUUAUCACGAGAGAGUCAUUUGACUAACACAAAUUAAAGCUUCUACUUUCUUCCGGUUAACGUUGUAUUACUAUGUUUCAUUAAAUUAUUUUUUAAAUAUUACAGCACCUGCUGCAUUUGGUAAUAAACAAACAAAUCCCACAAAAACCCCAUCAAUUAGAUAUUCGGGCCGGGUAGAAGCCAAUGUAGCCCAAUGGAAUCGGGCCGCAUCAUAGUUGCCUACUGGGCUGGGCUAUAUUUUGUUGGGUAGUUCGAAGAAGCGGGCUCGGGAGUCUGGUCACCUCCGGUGAGCUCACCUCCCCUGCAGUAUCAUCUGUUUUGCAGCAAAACAUUUUUUUGGGUGGAGUUUUCAUCAAGGAAACACCGAGGUUGUGCUUACUUGGCGGUGAGCGUAAUUUACAUAACGACACGGUAUGUAAAUGCAGGAAAGCCAAAAUAGUAUUUAAAUUUUAAAAUUUUGACAAAUAGUUUGUGAAUUUAAAUCAGCCAUUUAUUUAUCCUCUAAUUUUGUUCGUUUCUAUUAGCGUAUGAUUUGAAAAUUAUUUAUUUAUUAUGGAGCAAAUUUUGUGGAGCCAUUCUCAAAACAUUUUUAUUCAUAAGCCCAAAACAAACUAUCCAAAAAGAGGGCCAUCAAUUAGGUUUUUGGUGAAAGCCCAUGUAUAGAGUCCGGUAGCUAAUGGCUUCGGCCUGGGCCAUAUGGGCUUCGAGACCAAUCAAUUGGGUAUAUUUGGGCCGGGUAAAAGCCCAUGUACUUGAGUCAAGUAGUCAAUGGCCUCGGCCCGUAUUACAUCCAGAUUGGGUCCCACAUUGGGCCGGGCUACAUUUUGAUGCGCUCGAGUCUCGUCAACUCCGGUGAGCUCACCCCCAGAGCAGUAUCACCUGUUUUGCCACAAAACUUUUUUUUCCGUGGAGUUUUCUUCGGAAAACUCCCUGGUUAUGCCUAGUAGUGGUGAGCGUAUGUGUGUGUAUAUAUAUAUAUAUAUAUAUAUAUAUAUAUAUAAUGAAUUUUAUGAGUCAUUCUUACGAAUUUUUUAUUCAAAGAUUAUAAUUUUUAAAUGCUUUAAUUACUUUAAAAUUUAAAUGUAUCAUUUAUAUUUACUAUCUUAGUUAGUAUUUUUUUUAUAUAUAAUUUUUGUAACUUAAUAAAAUGAGUGAUUUGUUUAAAUUUUGAAGUUAAAGUAUCGUUGACUAAAUUAAAUCAAAUAAACUGAAAAUUUUGAUAGUAAAAUUAACAUUUUUAAAAAUUAGACAGUCGAUUAAUUAAAAAUAAUCCAUAAUUUCGGUAGGUUCUAUACGUUUUUAUCUAUCUUAAAUCAGGCAACCAUAUUUUUUCAGAAGAAUACAUUAGAGAGGCACACAAAUCUCUUUUUUAAAAAAAAUUUAUUCUUAAAAAAAAUUAAUAAGCCUAUAGUAGGAUAAAUUUGAUGUGAACGGCUAGAAUAUUGUCGUCCCUUUGAUAAGCUUUCAUAAUUAUUUAUUCCUCUCUCUCUCUCUCUCUCUCCUGCAAAAUAAAAUAAUAAAGGGAAUUAAGCAUAAGAGAAUGUCAAAGGACUAACUCGUAAUCUGCUCCGUCCAUCACGGCGCGAACAUUUCAACAAAUUGCUAUAAAAUUUACUGCACACCAUAAUUAUUUUGUCCACCAAACAACAACUGUGGCCAAUGACAGAGAAUAAAUACUAAAUAAAAAUAUAAGGGCUAAAUAUCAAUCCUUAAUUAGUCACCUUUUGAAUUAAAAAAAUCAUUAAUUAGUCACUUCGAUAUUUAGUUUGUUACUUCGACAUACAUUGGUUUGUUCAUCAAUUAAAAUUCACAUUUGAGUUCAUCAUUUAAUGUUUGGUUAAAUAGCUUAAUUAACUCAGUUAUAUCUGAACAGAUACUAUAUAUAGCUCUGUUUGGAAUUAUAGAAAAAUUAUGUUACAUACGGUAAAAAAUAUUAACAAAAAAAUAUUUUGCUUGUUACGUUCUGCAUAUCGAUAGUUAUAAUAUACUUUUCUAUGUUUUUGUUCUAACUCUAUUUUAUCUAAUAGUAUCAGAUGGACAUCAAUACCAAAUAGAGCCAUAUAAUAGAUAUUAAUGAUUGUCACUGCAUACGUAAUAUUCUUGCGUGUUUGUCAACUUAAUAAUAAAUAAAUUAAUUUUACUUAAUCUUUUCCCCAGUUGGGCAUUGGAAUCUAAUUAUGGUAAUCAUUAUCUAACAUGGGUGCCACUACAUUCAUCAGCUGUCCAAAGUCUCCAUUCCAUUUUAAUAAUAUAUAUCACGAACAAUAUUUAAUUAAAACCAAAAUUAAAUAAAACCCAGUCCCCUUAUACGAGAAACUAUUCCCCACACCAGGGGUAUGUACAAGUUAGAUAUUCCUAAAAGCCAAUUAUGCACCACAAAAAUUUACAUGCAUUUUUAAAAAAUCUGUAACCCAGACGCAAAUGAUCAUUAAAUGUUUCACUUAUAAAAAAAAGUUAAUUGUUUAUAUACUCUCGAAAAUUUCAACUUUCGUAUUUACCAUUUAUAAAAGGCUAAUAUUAAAAAUAUUUUUGUAAGGUUUCAAAUUUUUUCAAAUAUAUUUUUAGGGUAAAAUUUUAUUAGUGAAUGGUUAGAAACAGCUUGUUAUAUAUCUAUGUAAAAUUACUAUUUUGUCAUUUUAAAUAUAUACUUCUAUCGUUGCCAACUUUUAUUAUUUAUUUUUAAGUUAGGGGACCAAAAAUAUAUUUUGACUUUUUAUCAUUUCAAACAUAUAUACUCUUUUACUAUUACCAACUAGGCAAAUUCUUUUAUUAAUUUAUCCUUAAGAUAGGAACGAAGUGGGUAUUUUUACUAUUUUUUAACUAUGGUGAGAAUUUAAUUCAGAUUUAAUCCGAAAUGACUUAACGGCCACUAAUAGUAAUGAUAUUUUUGAAUAGCCGAGAAAUAUACGGGAGAUAUAUUUGGAAUAACAAAACAUAUUUCAAAAAUUUUGAAAAGUACAUAGGCAAUUAUCUUUAAAAAAAAAAACUUAUAAGUUAUAACCGGGUGGAGGAAAUAAUUAAUUUCCCCCUUAAACUAGAUAGAUACAAUACCAACUAGCUAGCUAGUGCCCAAUAUAUAUAUACCUAUUGGCACCAAUCAACACAAAAAUAAAGAAAAACAAAGGGGGCCGGGGAAGUAGCUACUCCAUGGCUUCUUCCACCGCCCGUCUCUUCCUCCUCGCACUCGCCGUACUCGUCUCCUCCGACGCUGCGCGUUCGUCUCCGAACGGCAGCGGCGGUCGAGGACAAGUACGAGGCCUGGCGAGGCAGUUCCUGCAGCUGCACAACGCGGCGCGGCUUGCGGUGGGCGUGCCGCCGGUGUCGUGGGACAGACGGCUGGCCGGGUACGCGCGGUGGUACGCGAACCAGCGGCGCGGGGACUGCCUGCUGGUGCACUCCAAGGGGCCCUACGGCGAGAACCUCUUCUGGGGGAGCGGCGUCGGCUGGAGCCCCGCGCAGAUCGUCGGCGCCUGGACCGCCGAGCGCAGCUCCUACGACUACUCCUCCAACUCCUGCCGCGGCGUCUGCGGCCACUGGACGCAGAUCGUCUGGAAGGACACCGCGCGCGUCGGCUGCGCCGUCGUCGUCUGCUCCGGCGGCCGCGGCGGCACCUUCGCCAUCUGCAGCUACGACCCCCCCGGAAACUACGUCGGCAUGCGCCCGUACUAGCCAUGAUCCAAAUUUUGUUACACACAUAAAUUUACUACGUACGUACACUUCUUCAAAUAAACUAAUUAAUUACUACUCUACUACGUACUACGUACUACGUACGUACUGUUCUAUAUAUGUGCAUGCAUAUAUAUAUAUGCACCAUAAAUAUUUUGUUUGUUAAUAAAUUACGCAUUCUUUUUUUGUGUAAUAUUCUUUAAUUUAAGAUGGUUCUAUUGGCAGCUAAUAAAUAGCUGUGUUUUUGUCCUUUGGUUUUAUUACGAUGGAUUUUUCAUGAUUAUAUAUAUGCAGUGAUUGGGUGAAUGAGCUAUAGCUGAGAAUUUGAUUGGUUGUGUCAUGUGUCAUGUGCAUGUGCUUAGAAAGGUACGGGAAUGUGUGACCACAUGACUAGAUGCUAUAUUAUUUCUUUCAUUAAAGGCUUUUCACAUGUAUUAUAUAAAUUAAUACAUUGGAAUAAGGCUCAAAAAAAAAAAAGAGAAAGGAAAUUAUAAACUUAUUAAUUAGGAUGAGAUCAUCUUAUUCUGGUGGGAUAUUAAUUAGUUACAAAUGAUUGGUACCUUGUGGCACAUGUGAAUUAUAUAGCAAAAUGUUAUUCUUUUUAGUGAACAUGUAGUAUAUAUGAUGGAAUUAUUUGAUCUACUAAUUAAUCGAGCACUUUAAUUGAUGAUUCUUUAAUUGUUUUUUCUUUUUUUUGGGGGGGGCGGGGGGAGGAGUACACAAAGAAUAAGUUUCAAUAUUAUAUAUAAGCGAUAACUAAGUUUAAUUUGUUGUUUGUUUUCUCCCUAUAUAUAUUUAGCAAAGUAUAAAGCUAUCGCUUAUUUAGAGUCAUCAUAUAAUUAAUUAAAUUCACGUCUACCCUAAAAAUAUACUUUUAAAUAUAAUUAAAUUGAUUAUUCUCCUUUAUUCUAUUAUUUUCAUAUCACACUUACGUACGGAGAACCUGAUACUAUACCACUAGGCUAGGUAUUAAGCAUGUUGUACGUAUACCAUGCACGUCGUAAAAUCAAAGCUUCGAAUUACCGUUGGAUAUUUCAAAUAGCAACUUCACUUUUCAUGUUCAUUUGAGGAUAACUACUUAUUGAUCGAACGUACGUUUGGUAUUUAUUAUCUACAUGAUUUUGAUAUUGUACACCGAUACAUCUCCAACUGUAUACAUCAAAAUUGCACACCUCUAGUAGGUUACAGAAAUACAAAAAAGAGCCCUCUCAUGGUGGAAUUAAGCAUUCAUUAAAGCAGAAAUUAGGAUUGAUUAGACCUUUCUUUUCAUAAAGAGACUUCUAUUAUUCUGUAUAUUUUGUUCAUAUCGGGCUGACACACUGAGCAAAAUAAAAAUUUGAUGGAAAUAAUUUUAACACGAGAUUGUUAUGAACUAUAUAUAUAUAUAUAUAUAUAUAUAAUUGAGCUCCUAUGCUUUUAAAAGUACAAAGUUAUUAGUGCUUGUAAGUUUUCGGCCCUUGGAUUAAAGGAUGUACGGUUAGGAUGAUGUGGGUUCCCUAGGGUUGAAUGGGUGGUUGGUUGAAUAGUAUAAUCUAACGAAUAAAAAUGAUCAAAGGCAGAGAUUUAACGGUAAAAAAUUUACAAGCACCAAGUGUUUGGUGCUUUUACAAGCACUAUAGCCGGACUAUAUAUAUAUAUAUAUAUAUAUAUAUAUAUANCUAUAUAUAUAUAUAUAUAUAUAUAUAUAUAUAUAUAUAUAUAUAUAUAUAUAUAUAUAUAUGUUAUUUUUAUUAAUAAGGCUUUUCCCCAACAUAAUUUCCGGGGGGAUAAUAGUUACAGACCAUAAACACGCCCCCCUCGUCGCACACCGCACGUGCGCACCCGACCCGCCACGUGCUCCGCCACACGAUCUGGGUGUAGUGGCCACACACCCGGCCGGCGGCGCACGUGUUGGACUCGUACGUAUAGUCUCUCUCCUCCGCGGCCCAGGCCCACACCGCAUCCGUGGGCCCCCACUCGGGGCCCGAGCCGACGAACACGUUCUCGCCGAGCACGAACUGGCCCUCGGGGAACGAGUGCAUGGGCCCACAAUCCCCCUUCCUCUCCCCGGCCCACCACCGGGCACGGGCCUCCAGCUGUGGGUCCCACAAUAAAGGAAGCUCCCAAUGGGCCGCGCGGACUAGGUUGUGGGCGUAGAGGAAUUUGAUGGGCUCGGCCCAACAGCCCAUGCAGAGGGACCUCGAAAUGUUGUAGAUGGUACUGUUUUCGAUGUAAGGCUUGUGCAAGAGGAGUGGAUUUGGAGAGGAGUAGUGGGGUGUUAGUAAGGAGAGGAGAAAGAGGAGAGUCGUUAUCAUAACGCUUACUAGUGAUUACUAGUGAUUCGUGCUUUGCAGCGGAUAGAUGUUACUGUAUUGGGAGAGGAGUGAAAGGAGGAGAGUUGUGAUCAUAUUGCUUAGGAUUUAUAUGUGGUGGUGACUUGGGGGUAUAUAUAGUGGGUGAAAAUGCAUGAGAGAUCCCCUUAAUAAGAGGCCGUUUUGAAAUCGAGCCUCAAUUUAACUUUUUUCAAUUCAUGUUCUAUAACUCGAAACUUCUUAUCUUUUUUGAUAUAUCGAAUAAUUUUAAUCAAAUUUGAUAUUUAUGCUCAUUUUUUAGUCUAGUAGAGUCAUUAAAUUUGAUAAAAUUUUUAACUUAAAUAUAUAGAAUAAUUUGGAUAUAAAAAAAUUAGAAAGUUGAGACAAUAUCACUUAACAACAAAAUUGAGUUGAGGGGCCUUUUUGAAAAUUACUUAUAGUUGAUGGGGAUUCGGUACAUUUUUACCAAAAUAGUUGGUAGCCUCGUGACGAGGGGGCAAAGCAAACCCGUGAGUGAUGAUUUUGUUCGUUCUACAUCUUGUCAGGGAUACACGUGGCUUGCAUGGAUCGUGGAUAAAAAAUUUACAUAUAUAUAUAUAUAUAGAUCUUUCCAGAAACAUCAUGAUAUAUACGUAUAUGUAUGCUAUAGGCAAUAGAAUGUUACAUAUUAUAAUAUUGUACCCAGCCAUUUUUUUCUAUUAUUUAUAUUAUAAAAUAUUGUUAUAUCAACAACAUUAAUUUACCGUGCAUGUAAAAUGAAUAUACCAAUAUUAUUUGACAAUCAAAAUUUUUAGAGAUAAAUGAUUACUAUAUAUUAUAUUAUAUGGUUUAAGAAUAUAGAGUUUUGAAUUCGAAUUUAUUUUUGAGUAAGUUUGUGACCUUUUAGGAAGUUAUAGGAGAAGAUGUAACUUAAUCAAUCUCAGGUAAUCAAUUGCACAAGCAUGCAUUGCAACAAAUUAACAUCAUUAUAUUUAGAAUAUAGAAAUGCUAAACCAAAUGGCCCAAGAUGCAGGCCUAAAAUCACAUGUAUAAGAAUUAAUCUACUAAAGCUGACACUCUCUUCUCUGGAUGACAAUUCCUAGUACUCUUUGUAUGAGACCGUUAAUAUAUAUUUGAGAAGGGUGCUAAGCUCAGAGUAUAUAAAGCAUCACCUCUUCUCAAAAAUUGCUCAGGAGAUAGAUGAGUCUAAAAUGGCCUCUGGCCCAUGACAUUGCCGUGGGGAUCAUAGUUGCAUGUAAUGAAAGUGUCCCCGGUCGUGCACACGAUUUGCGCGCACCCGAUCCGUAAGCUAUUCCUCCACACGAUUUGGGUGUAGUGCGAGCAAUCCUGGUCCGGUUGGCACGAGUUCGAACCGUAGUCGUAAAAGCUGCUCUCGGCCGCCCAGGCUGCAACCGUGUCUCCGGGCUGCCACUCGGCGCCUGCGCCCCAGAAGAUGUUCUCUCCGUAGUCAGAAUCGGAAUGAACCAAAGCGCAGUCGCCGCUCCUCUGGCUUGCCCACCACGAGGCGUAGCCCGCGAGCGCGUCGCUCCAUUGGAGCGGCGGCAGGCCGAGGCUCCCUCUGAUGAGGUUGUGCGGUACGAGAAAUUGCUGCAGCAUUGUACUUUGCAGCAGACGGCGUGAAGGCCGAGGACGGAUAGGCUCGCAGCUCGAAGUUGAUACUGCAGGAGUGAAAAGAGAGAAAAAGAGAAAAAAGAAGAAGAUUCUAAAAGCGGCACGGAAACCGGAGCUCUUGGGCGCCAUUUUCGAGGUUUUGGGAGGAUCUAAGUAGCUCGCUACUAGCCAGGUAGUUAUAUAUAGGACAACGGUUCGGCGCUCGUCGCGGUUGUGAUACAUUUAAAUAUGUCCAUGAUUUUAACGCUACUUAUGAUUCGAUUUAAGCCACUGAUUAGGGACUAAUUUCAUGUGGGCAUCACAUGGAUUGCAGUUGCAGAAUAGAGACAUGUUAGGGAAUGUGGCAUUGGGUUCCGUCGACUUUUGUUAAUUAAUUAACAACACUCAAAAAAUGGCCCCAGUCGAAAACAGGGGAUAGAUUCAUUUGAUCUGAGUGUGGUCAAGUUUCAGCUUGUUAUUUAAACUCAAAUUAUUAUCUCCCAUCUUUCUAUUUCUCUUAUUUUUUUGGAAAAACUUCAAAAACCCCCCCCUGUGGUUUCAUGCAUUCUCACUUUAGUACCCUGUGGUUUAAAACGUAUCAAUUUGCCCCCAUGUGGUUUCAUUUUUAUCUUUUCAGAAGCUUUUUCGUUAAUAUUUCGUUAAAUUAUAUACAAAAAACUUCAGAUAACUAUCUAUGUUUAUCGAAUAUUCACUUUAGUAUCCUUUAAUUUUAAUUUUGUCACUGAUUUAAGAAAAAAAAAUAAUAAAAUUGAUAACAAAAAGAGAAAAAUGAAACCACAGGGGGGCAAAUUGAUACGUUUUAAACCACAGGGUAUGAAAGUGAGAAUGCAUGAAACCACAGGGGGGGUUUUUGAAGUUUUCCCUAUUUUUUUUCCUUUAAUUUCUCCUCCUUAAGGCAUGAUGAGAACAUGCAUUCCUGUAUAUUGCUUAAGAUAUGGCUCAAUAGGUAGGAAAUUAAGUACCCCUUAAAAUUUGUGAGUUGAAUAGUAUUAUCUUUUUUAUCUCUCUACGUGGUAGUUUGUAGCUUUCUAAUCACAAAAACUAUGAAAAAUAUAUUUAUCUACAACUUAAGUUUUCAGAGAAAAUUAGUUAUUUCAUAGGGUGUUCGAGAUAAAUCCGAUCACGUUGCACUAGCUUAUUUAUAUUUAGAUCCAUAUUAUGAACUGAAAACAGAGCUUUAUAUUUCUCCAAGUGUGGCCUUUGUAUUAUAUGCCAAGCAGCUAAAAGAAAUAACAGUUAUAAUGCGAGGUUAAUGCACAUGAUAAGAGAUGAUUACACGCGAAGUCGAUGAUCUUAAUGACUCAAAACUAUACAUUGAUGCUUAGGCUUAUAAUAUCAUGAUAGAAACAUAUAACCGAACCGUUUCAAGGCUAACAUGCAAUUUACUUCUGUUUACUUUAAACAGAUUGAAAGCCUAUUUUACAAUACAAGUCAAAACGUUUUGUUAAUAAAGGUUAAAGCGCAAUGUAUGCGAAAGUUUAUGAACUAAAAUAUUUAAGUUGUAGAGGCCAAUUAAGUUGCAAUGUUAACGAAACAGAGUAUUGAUCUAUGUUAUUUUCAUCCAAAAUAGCUCGUGAUGGAGCAGGUUGAAAUGCAUUCUAUUAUAGAUGAGCGACAAUAAUGCAUGUUUCCAUAAUUUUUCUGUACAUGAUGCUAUGUUACCUAUGUAUAAUGUGACCCCAUAAUUUUGGGACUAUUUGGCCUAACUUUUGAUUUUAUUACAGCAAAAUGUGUUGUCGCAGAAAUAAUCAAUUUGGCUAAUCAUUUUAAAUUUUUAACAUAUAGGAUCCCAACAAUUUGGCAUUUUAAGAGCGAAAAAGAAAUAAUAUUCUUGGGUGUAAUGACUUUGGACACGAUUAAUCAUUUUUUAAUUAUUUUUUAAAGAUUCAACUUGUAAUAUAUUAGUCAGGGAAAAAAAAAAAACCCAAAAUUAAAUGAACAAAUCGGCGUCACAAAAUUCGCAAAAAAUGAUGAAUUUAACGGUCGAUCCCUUGAGUGCAAACUUUUGUAGAUGAUCUUAAUUACCUCAUACUAUAAGUCUAAAAGUUUCUUAAAUUCAAUCUCUAAAACUCAAAUCCAUGAGCUUUUCAUAGUUCAAAUUAAACCACCACCUCGUUAAUUAAUUACCUGUGCAAUCCUUGAGGAUCACUACACUUUGGAUCACAUCUCAAACAGUCAAAUCCACUACUAAUUGAAAAGGGUGUUUUUCCUACAAACACCUCUUUUCAUCUACUGAUAUUGUAACUGUUGUCACGUGGUGUGUUUGGUCGGUUUUAAUUUCAACAGUAACCAAUCAGGUGAUGUGCUAGUAGUUAGAAGGGCUUCUGGCCCAUGAUAUUGCCAUGGGGGUCGUAGUUGCAGGUGAUGAAGGUAUCGCCGGUGGCGCAGACGACGCGGGCGCAGCCGAGCCACUGGCUCUGCCGCCACACCAUCUGCGUGUAGUGCGAGCAGUCCUCGUCGGGCCGGCACGCAUUCGACCCGUAGUCGUAGUAACUCCGCUCGGCCGCCCAUGCCGCCACCGCGUCCCCGGCCUGCCACCCCGCCCCGCCCCCCCAGAAGAUGUUCUCCCCGUAGUUGGUGUCCGAGUGCACCAGCGCGCAGUCCCCGCUCCGCUGCCCGGCCCACCACUGCGCGUAGCUCGCCAGCGCGCCGCUCCACCGCAGCGGCGGCAGCCCCAGGCUCCCGCGCAGGCUGUUGUGCGGCGCCAGGAACUGCUGCGCCAGACUGCUCUGCUGCUGCAGCAUUCUCCGUGAAGCACCAGCAGUACUGGAAACUGCCGACAGUACUGCAACAAAAACAACCGCACAUGAAAGGGAAUGACUGUGAUGAGUACUGGCCAUUAAUUCUAACAAAAAAAACACAGAUAGGUAGGUAGUUAAUUUGAUGGAAGUUGCUUUGUUGGUUGUUGGUAGUUGCAUACAUAUAUAUACAGUGUUUUACACAGAUCAGUGGAACUUUAUUUACUAUAUACUGAGAUUUAGAAUCAUUAAUUAAUUUUUAAUUUCAUGUGAUCAGCACGCGAACCGAGGAAACUUUAACUGCCGUAACCGCCGUUGAUCAAGGUGGUUUUAUGCUAUAAUUAAGUUGGGGUCAACUGCUGAUGAUUCGUCGAUCGACUGGCAAAUUAGAGCACAUCUAGGGCGAGAUAACUGCAGGAUUAAUAUAUAAAGUAAUUAUUAGUGUAUCAAUUUUAAUCUACUAGUUAUAACAGUUCAUGUAGUAUAGUAUAUAUUAGUAAAUAUUUUCCGUAAUUUGCGCGGUAAACACAUGGUUUAGGAGUCGAAUCCAAGCUUUGGGCUGAUAUAAACACGUGGUCCCAUGUGAGUAAUAUCUAGCUUGCUAUCUUAAAUGAACACCAAAUUAAUCAUGUAGAUCACACUUCGACAGUAUUCUAUAAUUUAGAGUGUAGCAAUUUUUUUAGCUUUUUUCUUUUGUGAGAGAGUUAGUAUGCUAUCUGCUUUAUUUAUUUUUUUAAUAAAUGAACUCAGUUAAAAAUGUGAAACUUGUGACCUCGGAUAUCAAAAAUCAAGCUCUUAGUCUAACUAAAAAUGUGUAGUAAUUUUUUUUACUUCACUUUUUUGUUGUUUUUUUGUUCCCCUGAGCUACUAAUCAGAGGAUUACAAAACAUAUAGAGAUCACUCCUUUGGCUUGUAAAGUGUGUACACUUUAUUACUUUAUUUGAUGCCAUGUUAUUAUACGAAACAAAAACAUAUAACACAGGAGAGCAAACUUACUACAAUUUAAACCACAAUAUUGAUAACUGCAAAUCUGCUAUACCAUAUAUAUGUAGAGAGAGAGAGAGAGAGAGAGCGCGCAAUUCACCGGGCAAUGUUCUGAGAGCUCAGCAAUUCGAUGGUAGGAUUAUUAUUAUUAUUAUUGUUAUUUUAAGAACUAACUGCACAAUCUUGAAGAGAGCACCUCCUAAUCAGGUACUUAACAUGAGGUUUUAAUAUUUGAUCAUGAUUCAUGCAUUGGAUUCUUAUUCACUUAUCUUCAUGAUUCAAUCUUCAGAGUAGUAGACAAUCAUUAAUGUGUUAUUCUUAAAACUAGGGCCAUACAAGUUCUUUAUUUGAGUAUCUAUCCACUUGAACAAUAUGAUUGUACAAUGCCCAAAAUUCAAUGCACGAAAAGUUGCAUGGAGUAUGACUACAGCAAAAACCUUACCCAGAGAGAGAGAGAGAGAGAGAGAGAGAGAGAGAGAGAGCAUGACCUACUCACUUAUAACAUGAUCAAAAGAGAGUGAGAGCAACUUAAUUUGAAUCGGUGCAAGUUAGAUGUAUCUCGAAUUCUUGGAUCUGGUCCGCUUGCGGUAUUUCCACCCCUCCCCAAAAAGAGAAAAAAGAGAGCGAAACUAAAUACAUAUUCAUUACUUCAAGACACUUAUAUCUUUUCUCAUGUUGAGUUUAUUUGUUUGGUGAUUUUUUUGAGUCAUGAGAGCUUUAGGUGCAACUACGGUGUCGAAAGUGCUGACAACACUUCAUACUUACAACUUUUUUGAAGGUUUCGAAAAUAAGUUGUAUGCGUGAAUCAAUCAUAUUUGUAACUUGUUCUAUUUAUGUCGAAGAUACGAUACAAACUUUUAAGUAGUUAGGAUCUAUAUAAUGU